RNAcentral lists this long non-coding RNA (69195 nucleotides) under Ananas comosus (pineapple). Its description in RNAcentral is "long non-coding RNA (ACOM_LNC029078)". The record is from RNAcentral. Lineage: Eukaryota; Viridiplantae; Streptophyta; Magnoliopsida; Poales; Bromeliaceae.
ACUCAUGUAGCUAAUGCGUGUUAAUAAUAUGAUGCAAAUGCUAACUAGGUGCAUAUAAAAUGAUAUAGAAAUCAUAGGAGACAUGAUUAGCAUUAUGAGAUUAUGUAUGCAUAAUGACAUCAUAGAAUGUAUGCCAGAUGAAAUGUGGAUAUCUAUAGUACUCGAUAUGACAAGUAGGAUGUCAAGUAGAUCGAGUGGUAUUAACUUAGUGUUAAUAAACAUAGGUCGGACAUAGAUGACAUUGAACCUAGUGUUAUUGAACCUAGGAUAAAUAACGAGUGGCAUCUAACCUAGUGUUAAAGAACUUAGGUUCAAUAUGAAUCUAGAGUCGGGACCUAGGUGUGUGGCAUCUAACUUAGUGUCAAAGAACAUAAGUUGAGAACUGAACCUAGAGUUAAAGUAAACCUAGGUUGUGAAAUUGAGCAUUAGACCUAGAGUCAGUUGGACCUAGGGUGAAAAGGACAUUGGACCUAGAUAGGUCGAUACUAUAGGGUUUGAGACUAACCCUUGAGUCGUGAAAUGGAUUCCAAAAUCCCUAGUGAAGUCGCAGCAAAGGAAGCGGUGGCACUUGUGGUAAAAGAGAUGGCAAGCGAAUCAUAACUGCAGGUAUGUGUGGUUCUCCUCGCCUGGCAGUGAUUCAACGGGUAUUUGUGGUUCUUCUCGCACGGGAUGCCAUGAGAAUAAGCUGGAAUUGGGUAUGUGUGGUUCUCCUCGCCUAUUAGCUUAUCAGAUGAUGCCGCCUAGAUUGACUUGAACCAUUGCUGGGUGAGAGCGAGUGGCCGCUGCCAGAUGACUAAGCCAUGACUUGAGCCAUUGUUGGGUGUGAUGCGAUGAGUUCGCCGCCAAGUGGCUAAGUCAUGACUUGAGUCAUUGUUGGGUCGAUGCGAUGAAUUCGCUGUCAGAUGGUUAAGUCAGAGGUGCGGUAGGCUGUGACGGCAGCCGGAAUGAGAUGCAGCCAGUGCGCGAACUAUCCGCGGAUGAUUGACUCGAGGCCGAGUCGAGUGGUUAGCUUGAUUAGGUUAAUAGAAACCUUAUAAGCUAGUGAUAAAGGUAAGAGUUAAAGUUAGCAAAGUAAAUGUAGAAUUAACAUAUCUACUAGUUGUUUAUACAGUUGCAUAGUUGCAUAAUAUUCCUGUUGCAUAUUGUGAGGCAAAGCAUGAUAUAUGUUAGUUGCAUUUAAAUUAUGAUUUCAUAUCUAUCUAUUGAACUAACAUGUUGUUGCCUCCUUGGACCUAUUGGUCGAGCUUCUCCCUUGAGUGGCCGUACCCACUGGGAACCAUGGAGUUGGUUCUCACCCCACGUUGUUUUGGGGUGUUUCAGGUUCGCACGUGAGCGGCGCGGCAGCGCGAGGAAAGGGCGUAGCUCCAUAGAUAGCGCCCUACCCAGAGACCAGAGAUAGCAAUACCCCGUCGACAUAGCCUAGGGGUUUGGGAAAUGAAAAGAAUACAAUGUAUCAAUUUGUAAUAAGCAAAUGAUGUAAUAACUUAAUUGCAUUUGGGAGUUAGAUGUAAAGUAAAUGUAUUAUUGUGAAUGCAUGUAAUAACAUAGGAUAUGUUAUGUUGUGAUACUUUCCUUAUGCAACCAUGAUUGAUAUCUGUUCCUGGUUGGAACCUUUGUAAUGUUCAUUGUAUUGAUUGCGACGCCUAGGACGUAUAGGGAAAACUCUGUCAGUUCGGCGGUCUGUCGACGCGCCCGAACUUGGCCAAAUAGGCGGGGCCCGGGGCGUGGCAAACAGACCACGUAGCGAGGGAUCGGAGGGGAUUCAUCGAGUACCGUUGUGUGCCUGCUGGGAGUAGAAGAGUAUACAUGGGGAAUGAUUCAAGUGUCGAUGUGUUAGGCGUUGGCACAUACAAGUUGAUCAUGCAAGGUGGUCGAACUUUAUACCUACAUGGUGUACUUUGUGCUCCAGGAAUUCGGUGGAACUUGUUUUCUAUUCUUGCUAUGCUACAGUUAGGCUUUUCUUUUUGUUUUGAGAGUGAUGUAGUUAAGAUUCAUCUUGGAACUAUUUAUUAUGGGAGAGAUUUUAUGUCAAAUGGUUUUAUGAUUUUGGACAUUGAUUAUAAUAUUAAUAAUAGUGAAUCUUUUUCCCUGCUAUCUUCUGUUGAGAAUCAUCACAAUGUUUCAAUUAAAUGGCAUGCACGUCUUGGUCAUAUUGGGCAGGACAGAAUGACUAGAUUGGUUAGAGACGGGUUAUUGAGCUCGCUCAGUAAAGUCGACCUACCCACAUGUGAACGUUGUUUAGCAGGAAAAGCGAUCCGAAAAUUAUUUAAUAAAGCUUCUACGAUAGAAUUUUCUUUACAAUUGAUCCAUUCCGACAUUUGUGGCCCAAUGAGUGUGAGGGCAAGACAUGGUGUUUUUUACUUCAUCACAUUUAUAGAUGACCAUACGCGCUUCGGUCAUGUUUAUCUGAUCUCCCAUAAGUCUGAAGCAUUGGAUUGUUUUAGACGUUAUAUAAAUGAGGUUGAGAAUCAGUUAAAUAUGAAAAUUAAAUGCUUAAGAACUGAUCGAGGUCGCGAGUAUCUAUAUGAACAAUUCAAGGAAUUGUGUGAUGAAAAGGGAAUAAUCAGACAGCUGACAAUUCCUGGCACUCCGCAGCAAAAUAGUAUAGCGGAGAGAAGAAAUCGCACCUUGCUUGACAUGGUUAGGUCAAUGAUGGCGCCAGCAAAUUUGCCUGUCUUCUUUUGGGGAGACGCAUUGUUAACUGCUGCCUACAUUCUUAAUCGUGUACCCUCCAAAACAAUAUCUUCCACUCCUUAUGAAUUAUGGACAGGCAGGAAACCAAUUAUUGCAUUAGUUGAAGUGUAUAGAGGGGUUGGGCCCUCUCUUCUCUCUCAUUCCCACCCUAAACACACACAGUUCUCUCUCUCUCUCUAAGCUCUCUCUCCUCUCUUGAAGCAAAGAAGAAAGAGAAGAAUGAGAGGAAGAAAAGGAAGGAGAAGAAGGUGGAGCAAGCUAGGAGAAGGCCUUAGUUCUCUUCCUCUUCCUCCUCACACUAUUGGAGCUAGCUUAGAGGUAAGCUUUUGAGCUCAACAAUGGUAGGAACCUAGGGCUUGGAUUUCUAGCUUUGUGAAUGGGUCAAAUGGACUCCUAGCAUGCUUAAUAGUUGAUUAAUACUAGAAUCUAGAGUUUUGUUGGAGCAAAUUGCAUAAAUGCAAACCUAGGGCUCCAAUUUGGGGUUUUUGGAAAUCAAUGAGAUUGAUCUCAAUUGAGGGCAUCUAAACCUAAUUGAUAGGUGUCUAAACGCGUGGGCAAAGACGGAUUGAACAUUCGUUGAGUCGGUGAAAAGUUAUCGGCAAAACAAGACUGAUCGAGCUUCGUUUCCACCUAGGAGGUCGAAGCGGCAUUAAAGCAACUGCCGAGUAGUGUUCUUAGCACCCCGACAUCGUCGAAAGGUGGGUGGUGUCAUCCCGAAGCAACCGGGUUCCUCUCUAUGUCUUAGUAGUUCAUGAUUUGUAUCUCUUGCAUGUAGCAUUGUAGAAUUGCAUGUUACUCCUUUCCUUAUGCUUGAUAAUGAUAUCUAUGUAUGAAAUGAAUGCAUAAUGAUAGUUAGAUGAGAAUUGGGUCUUGACAUUGAAUUCUAUAGUGCUGAGAAGAGAGAUGACUCGAUGAUUGUUAAAGACGUAUUGAGUGGCAUUGAUUGUUAAACAUACAAAAACGGGUGGCAUAUAACUUAGUGUAAAUGGCACUAGUGGCAUGUGAACUUAGGAAUAGGUGGAUUCCCUAGUAAAUGACUCGUUGGACAAGGAAAUAAUGUAACCAAACACUCAUAUUUGGACUUUGGGAUAGGUGGAUUCCCGAGUGACUUGUAACCCUAGAGUUGAUAGGGUAUCCUCGAGUUGAGAGGAUUGAUCAUACUCACAGUCUGUUUAUACUUGUGGUGGUCGCACCACCCAGGUCUUCGUGCACUCCGGAGUUUGGUUCCGGAGGGGCAGAGUUGAUGCCCUGCAGGCGGCCUCGGGUUUGAGAGCGAGGUGCGUCUCCUUACCAUACGAGGUUUGAGGUGAGUCGUGGGCAAACCCAAGUGGAUCGCCAAGGAUUGAUUGAACAUGGAAAUAGCAUUGUUACUUGAACAUUUGCUUGUUGGAUAUGGAUAGUGGACAUAGUGGCAUGUUAGUAAACCUUUUACUAUAUGAUGCAUGCAUACAUUACGGAUGAAUGGGCAUAGUAGCAUAGUUUUCCUACUAUUGCAUUUGCAGUUUUUCAUAACUAUCUAUCUAUCUGCUUUUGCUCACUCGGACCUAGUGGGGAGAUUGGCGGAGUCGGCGGCCGAACCCACUGGAAACUAUGGACAAUAGUUCUCACCCCACUUUGUUGCAGGGCCUAGUACGAGCGCGCCGGGCGAGGACCGCGGCAAGUGUUAAGUCUUGUAUGUUGGCAAGUUCCGUGGAUUGAGUCGGAGUCUUGAAGGUUUCGGGGCAUAUCGUCGAAGAACGAAGAAUCCAAGACUUCGGAGAAGGCGGAGAUAACUAACGACAUGAAUCACGAUGCUCAGGUAAAGUCUUUACUUCAGUUAUGGUGAUUCGUACUUAGUUAUAGGCAUUAGAAUCAUUAUUAUCAAUGUUUAGUUGAUUAGAAAUUGCUUCGGAACUCUGCGGAACCCGAAACAGUGCUAAGUCUGAAAAAUGCACUGUGUACCGAUAUAGCAAUUGACCCGUACCGGUACAGCCAUCGACUUUGGCUUUACAGAUUUUUGUUCCGUCAUCGUGUAACCGGUGACAGCCUCACGUGUACCGGUACACAGUGUAAAAUUGUGAAAACUUUCGAAUUCGACUCCGAUUGAUUCUAAAGUCUAUAAAUAAGUUAUUGGGGUUCUCUAACAUAUCAAGCAUCACGAAAAUAUAUGUUUGAGAAACCCUAGAUGUAAGAUAUGGAUCCCGAGGAUCUAAAAGGUAAGUAACACCUAGAAGGGGGUGAAUAGGUGUAAAAACGGCAAACUCGAAAAUCUCGAUGCAAAUAAAAAUUAAAUAGCAGAAAAUUAAAAAGCACACCGAGAAUUUAACGUGGGAAAACUCCAAAUCGGAGUGAAAAACCCACGGGACCAAUCACGCAAAGAAAAUCCACUAACAAAACAUGAGUACAAGUGAUUUANGUCGAGCUUUCCGAAUGAGUCUUCGUUCUCCAAUUUGAAUCUCUUCUUCAAAACUUCUGCGAUCAACUCUUCAAGACUCCAAACAACUUUACGAAAUUCGCCAACCUAUAAAAUCCUUAACACUAGAGGCUCGGAUUUCAUCUAAAACCUAUUUUCUUCAUAAAGCCUCUUUUAGGUCAAAUCGAGAGAUUGUAAUUUGAUAUCAAUAUGUCGAUUUGAUAUUCCCUUUGCUUGGAGAUCUAUUUCCUGGUUUUCAUCGAUAUUCUAAGCGAAGGAUCACCAUAAUCAUGAUGCUCUUCAUGACGGCGUCGUUGAUUCGUCGUGAUUGACGGCGGUUCGUGGAUUCGGAUCGUGAGCUUCGUGGAUUCGGAGUGGAGGCGUUUCGUGGAUUCGGAACGUGGCGUUCGUGGAUUCGAACGUGAGGGCAUGGACAACCCGGAGGAUUGCGCGAGAUUCAUAGGAGGUUAAGAGAGGUCGAGUCCGUGGAAAUGGUAAUCACCUUAUAAUCUUUUCUCUUAGGGAAUUAUUUUUUCGCGUGUUGGUCCCGUGGGUUUUUCUCCAAGUUGGAGUUUUUCCACAUAAAUCUCGGCGUGAUUUUUAUUUUCCGCAUUUAUUUUUAUCGCAUUGAGAUUUGUGGUUUUUGGCUAUUACACCUAUUCACCCCCCUCUAGGUGUUAGAUACAAUCUAGAUAGAUUCUUGGGCUCUUUAAAACUUUCAGCAAGGGCAUAGCGCCCGAGCAGUAGUAGAGUACCUUCCCUUUUGCAUUAGAGUACCCUUAUGUAUCUAGAUGCUUUUUAUUUUGGGAGAGCCACUUAUGUAUUUGAAAGGAUUGUGUAUUCAUUUUGGGAAUGAUGUAAAAAGAGCCUUAAAAUGUAAUUGAAUGCAAAUGGAUGUAAUAGCUAGUUAUGUCUCUCUUUAUCUCACUUGUGAAUGCUUGUGGAUUCUUGCUUUUAGUUGUUCGCACUUGUUGUGCCCUUCGUCGAUUAUGUAUAUUGAGAAUUUCAUUACCUGGGCAAAUUCUUGUAUAUGAUCUGGUUGUUUUGCCUUGGGCCGACAGGGGAGGUACUGUCCGUUCGACGUCUGUUCGACGUGCCCGAACCAGACCAAAUCGAUAGCGGUCUCGGAGCGUGAUAGAGGGAAAUGGUAUCAGAGCAAAUAAGAGCAAGUAAAGAGAGAAAGUCUAGGAGCGACCUAGGAGACCCUAGGACAGCGAACCCUAAGGCUAUAGGUGCGUGAGUGGAACGUGAACCUAUAACGGUGACGGAAGUGAUUCGAUUGGGUCGAAGUUGGCGAUAUGUCUCUAGUAGUUGCUAGAGAUGAAUUCAAGUGGUAUGAGUUCUUGACUUAAGGUGGUUGUGUCGGCGGCCGACAACAUGAUGCCAAGAGUCUAGAGCGAGUACACUUGUGUGCUUCCGCCCGACUUCGUUGUUGAACCGUUUCGAGUCGUAGUUGCGACGAAGUAAAUGGGUUAAGAUGAUUAACCAAGUACUUGCGUUUCAGGAGCCAAUGGCCUCGAAGAGACGCUACACGCGCCGAUUGGCUCCAGCACUGCAUUCCAAGGUGCCAGAGCAAGUUGAACCUGCACGAGCCUCAGAGCCUCCUGUGGUGCCUGCACAAGCCGGACCGAGCGAGAUGCAGGAGUUGCGGGCACAAGUGACCGCACUUGCUGGUCAAUUCGGGCUGCUCCGAGAGUUGAUGGAGCGGCAAUUAGCAGCAACGACUGCGAUGGCGACGUACGGUCGUGUUCCACCCGCACCUUCGAUGCGUGAGCCCGAAACGGCUGAGGGUGAGGGUAUAGCGGCAAUUCCGGUGGCGGCACAUCCCCCGCCGAUGGUUGCUUCUCCUGCGCCGUCGGGAUCGGCGACACCGGAUGCGGCGGCCGAGGAAGCGGAAAAGGAGCGCGUGUUGGCGGCUCUAAUCAAGUUUAACAAGUUUCAUCCGCCUAUCUUCGAGGGGGAAAGUAAAGCCGGCGAUGGUCGAGUCAUGGGUCGACUCGAUGGAGACGCUCUUCGAGGACCUGUCCACCUCGGAAAGGGACAAGGUGUUUCUCGCCACACACUGUUUGGAGAAGAUGGCGAAAGUGUGGUGGAAGAGAGUGAAGCGAGAUAGGCGUUCGAAACUUCCACCGAUGCUGUGGGAAGAGUUCAAGAGGGCGAUGUUCGCCAACUACUUCCCUGAUACUCAGAAGCGGAAGUUGCAAGAGAAGUUCCGCAAGUUAAGACAGGGGGACCGCACUGUGGCGGACUAUGAGCAAGAGUUUUCCCACAUCAUUGACUGUGUCCCGAAUGUGGUGAAGGAUGAUAGGGACAGAGUCGACUGGUUCUUGAGGGGACUCCGGUCGGGAAUCUACAAGGCUGUGCAUAUAUUCAAGCUCACAACCUUUGCGGAGGUGUUUGAUCGGGCGCUGUGGGCAGAGCACGGAGAUGCCCAUGUGCGCGAGGAGCGUGAGCUUUUAGCCAAGUCCAAGGAUAAAGGCAAGAAACGACAAUGCGGCAGUUUGGGGGAACCGACGAGCUCCAAGAAGCCCCCGAAGUAUCCGCGGACUCAGUACAAGGGCCGUGGAGCGCGGCGGUGUGUUAUUUGCAGCGGAGACCACCAACCGUCGCAUUGUGAUCAGCGCCAAGGCAAGUGCUUCAAGUGCGGACAACCGGGGCACUUCAUACAUGAUUGCCGGGAGGUGGAGCCUCGCCUGUUCCAUCCAUUGCAUCGGCGCCGGUGAUUCCAGCUCAUUAUGGGGGAGCUCCAUCGACGGCGGUGUCAGCGGGACGCGCGAUGGCGUCGCGUCAACCUGAGGUGACACGAUCGGCACCGAGCGGGCUGGUGUUCGCCGCUCAAACUCAAGUGGAGGAACCUGCCGAGCCCGAGGAGCGCCAUGUGGUGGUAGAUAUGGUUUUAAUUAACGGAGUUCGCUCCCGAGCUAUGUUUGAUACAGGUGCCAUGCAUUCAUUCAUAAGUAGGCCAUUUGCACAAAUGCAUGGUAUUGAGUUUCAAUUUAGUAAGAGCACUUGGCAUGUGUCUGGCCCUGGGCGAGAUUUUCUGAUCCGCAAGGAGUGUUUAGCGUGCCCAGUACAAAUAGGCGAUUGGAUAAUGCCGAUUCGCAUGUUGGUGCUCAAGAGGCUGAAGGAGUACGAUGUCAUAUUGGGCAUGGAUUGGCUCUCGAAGUACUACGUGACGAUUGACUGCAACAGCAGGGUACUUACCUUUCUUGAGCCCGGACAAGAGGAGUUCACGUAUCGGGCUUGUCGAAGCUCAUGCUUCGUCGCGACGGUGUCGGCGACAAGAGCGAGGAAGCUAGUUAACAGCGGUUGCACAGCAUACUUGGCGACCGUUGUGGAGGUGGACCGAGUGGCUCUGACCUUGGAGGAGUUGUCGGUAGUACGGGAGUUUCCAAAUGUGUUUCCCGCGGAGUUACCGGGGAUAUCGCCAGAUCGGAAGAUUGAGUUCGUCAUAGACUUGAUUCCCGGUACCGCGCCGAUCUCGAAGGCUCUGUAUAGAAUGGCCCCGACGGAACUAAAGGAGUUGAGAAAUCAAUUACAAUACCUCCUCGACAAGCAAUUUAUCCGGCCAAGCGUAUCACCGUAGGGAGCCUCGGUGUUGUUUGUGCGGAAGAAGGACGGAUCAUUCCGACUCUGUGUGGAUUAUCGUGAGUUGAACAGAGUCACGAUCAAGAAUAAGUACCCAUUCCCCGAAUUGACGACUUGUUCGACCAGUUGCAUGGAUUGUGUGUAUACUCAAAGAUAGACUUGCACUCCGGCUAUCACCAAUUGAAGAUUAAGCCGGAAGAUGUUCAGAAGACCGCGGUUCGUACGCGGUAUGGGCACUAUGAAUUCACGGUCAUGCCUUUUGGACUUACGAAUGCCCCGGCGACGUUCAUGGAUUUGAUGAACUAUGUUUUCAAGGAGUUUCUGGACCGAUUUGUCGUGGUCUUCAUAAACGACAUAUGGGUCUAUUCUCGCAGUGACGAGGAGCAUGCCGAGCAUUUGAGAUUAGUGUUUCAAGUCUUUCGGGAGGAGAAGCUAUAUGCUAAGCUAAAGAAGUGUGACUUUUGGCUCCGAGAAGUCGCAUUUCUGGGGCAUGUGAUUUUUGAGGGUGGAGUUUCUGUAGACCCGAGGAAGGUUGAGGCAAUCAAGGAUUGGCCGCGCCCAACAAAUGUCACAGAGGUCCGAAGCUUCGUGGGCUUGGCGGGCUAUUAUAGACGGUUUGUGGAGGGUUUCUCGAAGAUCGUGAUUCCACUUACCCGUCUGACUCAGAAGGGCACCAAGUUCGUCUGGAGUGACGAGUGCGACUGGAGUUUCAAAGAGUUGAAGGAAAGAUUAACUUCGACUCCGGUGCUCGCUUUACCGGUGCAGGGUGAAGACUUUGUGGUGUAUAGCGACGUCCUAUCCAGGACUAGGGUGUGUUCUGAUGCAAGGCGGGAAGGUGAUCGCUUAUGCAUCCUGUCAGUUGAAAAACUACGAGAAGAACUACCCUAUCCACGACUUGGAGUUAGCCGCGGUGGUAUUUGCUCUCAAGUUUAGAGGCAUUAUUUAUACGGCGCACAUUGCGAGAUAUAUACCGACCACAAGAGUCUAAAGUAUCUGUUUACACAAAAAGAGCUGAAUAUGCGGCAGCGGUGGUGGUUAGAGCUACUGAAGGAUUAUGAUGUUACAAUCCUCUACCAUCCCGGGAAGGCGAAUGUAGUCGCCGAUGCCCUUAGCAGAAAGUCGGUUGAGAACCUCGCGCAAAAGGUCACAACUCAGAGUCCUCUAUGCAAGGAAAUGAAGCGAUUGGAUCUCGAGAUAGUGGCUCCGGGGGUUUCGGCUAUAUUAUCGGCUCUCGUUGUUCAACCGACCUUGUUGGAGAAAAUCAAGAACCUGCAACCCGCAGACCCUAGUCUCCAAAAGGUGCGGCGCGACAUCGAGGGUGGACGUGGUGGCGACUUCAGUAUAGAUGCUGACGGUGCACUUCGGUUUCGUAGCCGUUGGUGCGUACCGGAGAACGAAGAAGUCCGAAAAUUGAUUUUGUAAGAAGCGCAUCGGACUCCCUAUAGUAUCCACCUGGGCGGCACCAAGAUGUACCAGGAUCUAAAGAUGCAGUACUGGUGGCCGAGAAUGAAAGCGGAUAUUGGACGCUUCGUGGCGCAGUGCCUUGUAUGCCAACAAGUUAAGGCGGAGCGCCGAUUUUCAGUAGGGAAACUUCAGAGCCUGCCCAUUCCUAUUGAGGACAUAGUGAUGGAUUUCGUGGUCGGCUUGCCUCGCUCGACAGGCGGCCACGACGCGAUUUGGGUUAUUAUGGACCGCAUGACUAAGUCAGGCAUUUUCUACCAAUCCACAGUACCUAGUCGGGUGAUAAGUUAGCGCAGGUGUACCUUGAUGAAGUGGUGAGGUUGCACGGGGUUCCGAAAUCAAUUGUGUCAGAUCGAGACCCCCGAUUCACUUCACACUUUUGGAAGAACCUGCAGGAGGCACAUGGCACAUGGCUCGAUUUCAGUACUGCAUUUCAUCCUCAGACAGAUGGGCAAUCGGAGAGAACCAUUCAGAUUCUGGAGGAUAUGUUGCGAGCAUGUGUCAUUGACUACAAGGGAGUUGGGCAAGUCACCUACCUAUGGCCGAGUUCGCCUACAAUAACAGUUACCAAGCUAGUGUUGAGAUGGCAUCGUUCGAAGUCCUUUACAGGCGGAAGUGUCGAUCUCCUAUACAUUGGGGUGAUGUAGGUGAGCGUGCGGUGAUAGGCCCCGAUGUCCUGCGGUAGGCGGAGGAGAAGGUUUGCCUUGCUCGCAAGAGAUUGCUCACGGAGCAAUCAAGACAGAAAAGCUAUGCAGAUAAGCGCCGGAGAGAUUUUGUAACACACUGGACCUUUGCAAAUUGCGAGGUUCGAGUGCUUGGAUGUUUUUCGAGCUUUUCCACACUUGGUGGAGGGUUGUAGAAUGUUUUCCGACCUAAAAGUUCGAAAAACUGGAAUUUUGGACAAGUCCUGAGAGUUUUUACUCUCGGGGACCGGUCCCUGGAAGAAGAGACCGGUCCCCCAGUGAGCAGUGUUGAGGCAGCCUGAGGCAACCGGUCCCUGGCGGGCGAGACCGGUUCCCGAACGCUGGUUUUUCGGGUUCGCAGCGAGAGACCGGUCCCUGCUGGGGAGAGACCGGUCCCUCUGGGCGAAAACUGCCCAGACCGGGCUGAUGCAAUAUUGGAUUUUUGAGGAGCCUGGUUGGAUUUUGUUGCAAUAGAGGGUCUAUAUGACCCCUCCACCCUCUCUACUCCUCAUUUCUCCUCUCUCAACCCUCUCUACACCCUUGGUAAAGAAGAAGAAGAAGAAGGAGAAGGAGAAGAAGAAGGGAAGAAGAAGAAGAUUAAGAGUUUUUGGAGGACUUGGAGCAUCUUCCUCAUCCCCUCUUCUUCCUUGGUGCUUGUUGCUUGGACUUGGAGCUUACCAAAGAGGAGAUCUUCAUCCUUGGAGCUUGGAUGGGAGCUUCUAAGGAGGUUUGUUGCCCAUUUCCCUCCUCUAAACCUUGUUUUGAUGGUUUUUGUAGUUGAAACCCUAGAAAUGAGAUUUAGGGUUUGAUUUUGGGCAUUUUUGAUCUAGGGCUUUUGAGGCCAGAUUGAUUGGAUUAGAACCUUCCUAGGGCUUGGAUUGGAAGGGUUCUAGCUCUCAUUUGGAGCUUUGGAAGAGUUUCCUACUCUUGAGGUAAGUUUUGGCCCUUUUGCUCCUAGGUUAAUUUUUGAUGUUAUAUGAUGAUCGUGAUGCCCUCGUAUCUCUUCGCUGAUUACUUUUAGGGUAUUUUGAGACUCGGGGACAACUUGGUUCGGCGAGACGAGACCCUACGCGACGGUUCGGUGGGUUUGACCUAGCCACACAAUGAGAAAUUCUCAUUUGUGCUUAAUUAAGUGUUGUUAAAUGAAAAAGCAUGCAUAUUCUUGUUAUAUGUAUUUAUUGUGAAUUUUAGAAUGCUUAAAAGGCCUAUGUUAUAUAUGAUGAAAUUUUGGACCUCUAUGUAGUAGAGAGUAGCUUAUUAGGCCAUAGUUGCAUUUAGCAUUCUAUAUGAGACGUGGUAUUUGCUUCGUAUGAGUAUAAAUGGUUCGGGAUUCAUGCCAUUUAACACCUAAGUUUACUUAGUGACAUGAAAAUUGACAAGAUUGUCAUUUUAGAAGUAUUGAUGUAUAGAGAGAGCUAAUGUCAUCAAGCUGGCAUUGGAGCUCGGGACAUGUGGGAACUAGUGGAUAGGGGCAAUCAAGAAUUUUGGAAUAAUAUUGAACAUCAAAUUGCCUAAUGUCAUCAAGGGGCACUAGGCGUAGCAAAGGUUGAACUCUUCACAUUGGACAUAAGCUAGAUCUUGUGGAGCUUAGGGACCUAUACAUGUUAGAGACAUGAGGAUUGGAUACUUGAGACUUGGAUUAAUGCUUGCUUGCCAUUUGUGCUCAUUCGCACAUGCUUUGUGGAGUCGUCGCUCCCUACAAGCCCGGCACUCCGGAGUUAGCUACGCGACUUUUGUUCGCUCGGUGCGGUAUUGAGAGCCACGGGUCGAUGUGGGACAGACACAUCCCAAGAGUAGGGAUGUUGGGCUACCACAGGCACUUAGGCGGCACAAGCUGGAUUAUACCUUGGUAGGUCCUUGAUUGGAAAAUGGAAAUCGAUACGGGUUGAGAGUGGUUAAUCACUACUAGAUAGGUUUAGUGUUGGAUUACAUUUACAUGCUUUUAGCAUAGUGUUGAGGACAUGAGUACAUUUGAUAGUGCUCCUGUUGCAUUAGAGCAUAUGGUUGCCAUGAUAGAGCUUAUGGCAUCAUGCAUUGAUAAAGGUUAUUGACAUUGAACUAUUACCAUUAGACAUUAGUAUUUUGAUAUCGUAGAUGUAACAUCACCAUGACAUCGUUAUACUUGAGUUUAGUAAGUUAGCAUUAAUUAUGCCUUCAUUUAUUGCUAUCUUUAGUGUACUUACCCUUUUCUUUUGGGCCUAGUGGUGCAUUGAGCCUGAGGUCAUAGAUUGCCCACUGGGAAUAUAAAUUAUAGUUCUUCAUGCCCUCUUUUUCUUGAUGUUUUCAAGCUUCCUCAGAGUGGCCAGGGACCGCGGGAAGGGAGUUGCUUCGAGCUAGCUUCCUUUGAGGACGAUUCGCUAGGUGGUCUACCUCUCGUGGUGUUUUAUUUUGGAGAGGUUGAGGUGUUUACCAGUGUACUAGAGACCACCAUUUUUGUAUUAGAGACAGAUAUUGUACUACUUAUGAUUUCUUUUAUUGUCUAGCUUUACUUCUUUACCUUGAUGUAGAUGUUAGAACCUUACUCGCUCUGAUAUCAUUAGCUGCUCAUUAUUUCACUUCUUCUAUUUGUUCUAUUACUUGCUUUUACUUCCGCUUUUGUUGUAGACGCCUUAUAUGUGUUGACAUAUGGCGGGUCUGGGCACGCUACCAGGAGGGCCUCCGCCGGUCCCGGGGCGUGACAGAUUUAGAAUUCGCGGUGGGCGAUUGCGUGUUCUUGAAAGUUUCGUUGAUGCGAGGGGUGAAGCGAUUUGGAGUGCGAGGAAAGUUAAGUCCUCGAUAUAUUAGACCGUAUGAGAUAUUGGAACGAAUUGGUACAGUAGUUUAUCGGCUAGCCUUGCCGCCGAAGCUCGCAGACGUUCACAACGUGUUCCAUGUCUCCAAUCUUCGCAAGUACGUUCAUGACCCCGAACAUGCGAUGCUAUAUGAGCCAUCGGAACUUUAAGAGGACUUGAGUUAUGAAGAGUUUCCGGUGAUGAUUAUCGCCUGAGAAGUGCGAAAACUGAGAAAUCGCGAGAUUCCCUACGUCAAGAAACGGUGGAGCAAUCACGACGAUCGCGAAGCCACCUAGGAACUCGAGGAUCUGAUGAGAAAGCAUCAUCCUCACUUGUUUGAGGAAUAAGGUAUGAGUUUAAGUUUGAGUUAAGAAUUGGAUUAGUUUCGAGGACGAAACUCCUUUUUAGGAGGGGGGAAUGUAAGGAAGUGAAUUCUCGAAAUUCGAAAGUUGGACUUCGUUCAGAAUCGACUAAUUGUCGAGUGGAUAUGCUUCGGAAAAGCUGUAAAGGUCUAAAACCCAAAAAGUGCGUUGGAGUUGGAGUCCAAGAGAGCAGACAUGUAAUACACUGGACCUUUGCAAAUUGCGAGAUUCGAGUGAUUAACUGUGCUCUGAGUUUUUCCAGAUUUCCUGGUAGGUCGUUGACCGUGUUGGCACGUGUCCUGAGGAGUGUGGUACAAAGCCUUGCAACAAAAUCCAAAAAUUUGGAUUUUGGUCAGCUCUCGGAUUGGCUGUCUGGCGGGCUUGUACCGGUACAAGGUUGUGCUUGUACCGGUACAGAGCCGAGAACUCGCACAACCCGAGCCUCGGGUUUGCAUUUUCACAGGUCUUGUACCGGUACAAGGAUGGUCUUGUACCGGUACAAUGUUGAUGGUUGUACCGGUACAGCCAUCGGGCCUGUACCGGUACAGUGCCGCAGAACAGCGCAACCCGAGCCUCGGGUUUGGAUUUCGUGGACCUUGUACCGGUACAAGGGCCCGUGUACCGGUACAAGGCGGCAGAUUUUGAGCAGUUUGAACUGCAGGGGGCUUUUUGCGAUUGUGGGCUUCUUAUAUCAGCACCCAUGCCCCUAGGGCUCUCCCCUCGGCUGAGAAGAGUGGAGAACCAGGUAAGGGAGCUCCCCACACCAUCUCUUUGGAUUUGAUUUUCAUUUUGCAUGGUUUUUGAUGGAUUUUCCUCUCUUUUUCCCUAUUGGAGCUAUUUNNNNNNNNNNNNNNNNNNNNNNNNNGUAGGAAUGUCGGGCUACCACAGGCACUUAGGCGGCACAAGCCGGACUACCUUGGGUAGAUCCUUAAUUGGAAAUGAAAAUCGACACGGUUUGAGAAUGAAUGAUCACUACUGGAUAGGCUUAGUAGUUGGAUUACAUUUACAUGCUUUUAGCAUAGUGAGAGACAUGUAGUAUACUUGGUUGCCAUGAUAGAAUUUCUACAUCAUGUAUUGACAAAGGUUAACAACAUUAAACUAGUGCCAUUGGACUUAAUUGUAAUGAUAGAAUAGAUGUACAUUUUGGUUGACAUCAUGCUUACUUGAGACACAGUAGACUAGUUUUUCAAUUAUGCUUUCUUUCAGCAAUUUAUUUACAUGCCCCUUAUUAUUGUUAUUAUUAUUACCGUUACCUACCCUUGUUUUUGGGGCCUAGUGGAGCAGGAGCUGAGGUCAGUAAUUGCCCACUGGGAACUAUAAAUUAUAGUUCUCACGCCCUCUUUUUCUCGAUGUUUUUCAGAGCCUUCCAGGGAGAGGCCAGGGAUCGCGGAAAGGGUAUCGCCUCGGGCUAGCGUGCUUACCGGGGGAUCGUUCGAUAGGUGGUCUACCUCUCGUGUUUUCUUUUUGGAGAGGUUGAGAGUUUUACCAGUGUACUAGAGACCACCAUUUUUAUAUUAGAGGCUGAUACUGUAUCACUUAUGUUUACCUUUAUGUUUCUGUUUUGUUCUUUCACUAUUGGUGUAGAGGUUAGAACUAUACUCGCUCUGAUAUCAUUAGUUGCUAGUUAUUUCACUUCGUUGUUUGUUCUAUUCUUGCUUUUACUUUCGUUUUUAUUGUAGACGCCUUAUAUGUGUAGACAUAUGGCGGGUCUGGGCACGCUACCGGGAGGGCCUUCGCCGGUCCCGGGGCGUGACAGGGACAGGUCCCUGACGGGAGAGACCGCUCCCCGUACGCGUAGAAGCUGGCAGAAGAGCUCUGCCCGCGAAGGUUGUUCUCGGGGACCGGUCUGUCCAUAAAGGGACCGGUCGCCGUGCGCGAAAACUGCCCAGGCAGAGCAAUUUGAAAGAAGCAAAGUGGAGGGGUUUGGAUGCAAUUGUUGCAUUAGUUGAAGGGUAUAAAGGGGUUGGGCCCUCUCUUCUCUCUCAUUCCCACCCCAAACACACACACUUCUCUCUCUCUCUCUAAGCUCUCUCUCCUCUCUUGAAGCAAAGAAGAAAGAGAAAGAGAGGAAGAAAAGAAAGGAGAAGAAGGUGGAGCAAGCUAGGAGAAGGCCUUGGUCCUCUUCCUCUUCCUCCUCACACUAUUGGAGAGGUAAGCUUUUGAGCUCAACAAUGGUAGGAACCUAGGGCUUGGAUUUCUAGCUUUGUGAAUGGGUCAAAUGGACUCCUAGCAUGCUUAAUAGUUGAUUAAUGCUAGAAUCUAAAGUUUUGUUGGAGCAAAUUGCAUAAAUGCAAACCUAGGGCUCCAAUUUGGGGUUUUUGGAAAUCAAUGAGAUUGAUCUCAAUUGAGGGCAUCUAAACCUAAUUGAUCGGUGUCUAAAUGCGUGGGCGAAGAUGGAUUGAGCAUUCGUCGAGUCGGUGAAAAGUUAUCGGCAAAACAAGACCGAUCGAGCUUCUUUUCCACCUAGGAGGUCGAAGCGGCGUUAAAGCAAGUGCCGAGUAGUGUUCUUAGCACCCCGACAUCUUGGAAAGGUGGGUGGUGUCAUCCCGAAGCAGCCAGGUUCCUCUCUAUGUCUUAGUAGUUCAUGAUUUGCAUCUCUUGCAUAUAGCAUUGUAGAAUUGCAUGUUACUCCUUUCCUUAUGCUUGCUAAUGAUAUCGAUGUAUGAAAUGAAUGCAUGAUGAUGGUUAGAUGAGGAUUGGGUCUUGACAUUGAAUUCUAUAGUGUCGAGAAGAGAGAUGACUCGAUGAUUGUUAAUGUCACGCCCCGGGACCGAUACUAAUUUGGGCCGGCCGGAGCACGUCAAACAGACGCCGAACGGACAGAGUUUCCCCUGUCCGCCCAAGGCUCAUCACCUGUACAUUUUCAAACAAGAAGUGCACUAGCGAAAACAUACACAAACGGCUUACACGAGGGUAAGCAAUAGCCAUGAGUGAAAGAAAGGAAACUAAACAUCUACACAAGUACUAUGAUUCUCUUUUGAUCACAUACAUUAUAUUUAACCUUCAUAUUCAUAAUUCUUUACAUUGCUUGCAUCAUUUCUUUUUACAUCACAUUGCCUCAAAAUAAGCUUUACAAUCUUUUCUUUCUUUGCUUUACAAUCUUUAAUGUCACGGUUAACCCGGGGGUUUCGCCACAUUAACUUGCCCACAUUAAGUACAUCAUCGCGGGCCCUCAGCUGCCUCCCGCUAAGACCGUCCUCGGGUUUACUCCAACCCGUGAUGCAAAACUUCGGAGUGCAUCGCUCGAGGGGGAGCGACCGCCCUCGAGCACGGAACUCAUAGCAAGUAUGAUCGAUCCUUAACUCUAAGGAUAUAUAUAUAGUUCAAUCAUUGUCUUUACACUAACUCUAGUGUUCUUUACAUCACUUUAUUUUGCUAACUCUAGCAAUCAUUAUUCUCUAACUUUACUCGAUCUUUAUGCCACACCUUGCAUUAACUUUAACCAUUAUUAUUGUUCUUUUCAUCACAUUGAUUCUUUGAUGCCACACACUAACUUUAGUGUCGACUAUAUACUUUCGAAUGCCACUCAAUCUACGCUCUUAUGUCACCUUGUUCUUUUAUCUCAUUAGGUUCUCACAUUACCUCUCAUGCAUAUAUAGGGUGUUAUAGGUUCUCGACCAACUAGAAAUGCACGUGUACUCAUAUCAUGCAACAUUUACAUAAAUAUCAUCACAUUCUACCGUACAAUGCAUGCAACAACAUAAACAUAGAUGCUUAAUUAAAUGACACAUUAGGCAUAGAGGGAAUUCCAACAAGUUUGGAUAGCACCACCCACCUCGUAGGCGUACUAGGAUGCUACGGUGAUUUUCUUGGGAUUUUUUAACUUCUUAGUUUGUCACCUGCGGCAAAACGAAACCCUAUUAGGCAAUUUUGCUCAUAUCUUUACAUUAGCUUUUCGUAACGUUAAUCCGAGCGCACCAACGCGUCGGAAACACCCCCAAUUAGGUUUCUAGAGGAUCAAUUUCACUUUGGAACCCUCGUAAGCAAACGCCCCAAUUUGAGUGCCCUAGCUCAUAACAUAUAUCAAACCUAGGGUUUGAUCUCAUUGGGAAGCAAAAGAAGCUUCAUUCUACUCUAGAGACUCCACAAAAACCAUCUUUAGUUCAAUCCAAACCCUAGUUUGGAUUCUACCAUGAGAGAGGUUGAAGCUCUCCUUCAAGCUUCACCUUCCACACCAAUCCAUGGUUUUGAUCUCAAAAGGAAGCAAAAGAUAGCUCCAAAUACUCUAAAGGUUCUAUAAAAACCAUUCUUAGCUUCACUCCUUCACCUUUUUCUUUAGCUUCCUUCUCUUCUUUGUCUUCUUCUUCUCCUUCUUGUCUAGAGAGAGAAAGAGAGAAGAGAGUGUGAGAGGGAGAGGGAAUGAGAAAUGAGCCCUUACAAUCCCUCAACACAACCCAUAUAAUGUAACUUUGCAUUUAGACCCUCAGCUUUCAUUUUAUUAAACUGCUCAAACUGGGCAGAUUUCGGGUUCAGGGAGCGGUCUCCCCGACUUGGGACCGGUCCCAGAGAGCUCUCUCGCAGCUCAGCGGGGGCUUUCGCACGAGGCAACCAGUCUCUCCCAGGGAGACCGGUCUCUCGGGGACUGGUCUCUCCCCGCAGGGACCGGUUCCCGAGAGCUAGUUUUCUAGGACUUAGCCAAUUUUUCAGCUUUCUCAGUUUUCACGCGUUCGGGGACCGGUCUCUCCCACCAGGGACCGGUCCUCGAGAGCUCAAAAACUGCAGUUUGCAGAUUUUUGAUUCUUAAGCUCUCGAAACCUCCCACAAUGUACUUUUACUCACUUUAACACCUUCGGACUUUCUGAAGUGUACCAACCCCGCACUUUGGUCAAUUUGACUAAAGUUCGAUAUUUAUUUUUCGAAUUUUCGGUAUAUUACAUUCUCCACCCCUUAAAAUAAUUUUAUCCGCGAAAUUACGCAUACCUUAACUCGUCGACUCAAAUAGAUGUGGAUACUCUCUCCGCAUGGUCUCCUCGAGCUCCCAAGUGGCUUCUCGCACCGCAUGGUUGCUCCAUUGGACCUUCACAUAUGGAAUUCUGCGACUCCGCAGCUUUCUUUCUUCUCGAUCGAGGAUGCACACCAGGUAUGUAGCACAUUGGACAUUUGCAAAUUGCGAGGUUCGAGUGUUUGAUAUGGAUUCCGAAUUUUUCCACACUUGGUGGAAGGUCGUAGAUGGUAUUCCGACCUAAAAGUUCGAUUUCUGGAGUUUUGACUUUGUCCUGAGAAUUUUUACUCUCGGGGAUCGGUCCCUGAAAUGAGAGACCGGUCCCUUCAGAACAGUGUCGCGGCCAGCUUGAGGCAACCGGUCCCUGGCGGGGAGAGACCGGUUCCCGAACGUUGGAUUUUCGGGACAGGUUGAGAGACCGGUCCUAAGUCGGGGAGACCGGUCCCUCAGUCCGAAAACUGCCCAGCCCGGGCAGUGCACAGUGUUGAUUGUUGAGGGGCUUAUCAGGAUUUUGUUACAUUAGAAGGCUUUUAGACCCUUUCUCCUCUCUCUUUCUCUCAUUUUCUCCCCUUCACACCCACCCUUGAGAGAAAAAGAGAAGGAGAAGAAGGAGAAGUAGGAGAAGGAGAGGAGAGGAGCUUGCUUGGAGGCUUUAGAGCAUCAUCUUCUUCCUCAUUUCUUACCUUGGUGGCUUGGAGCUCGCCGUUGAAGCUUUGUGGAGGAUCAAACUCCAACCCUACUUGGUUUAGAGCUUGGAUUGGAGCUUCUCUUGAGGUUGGUAGCUUGUAUUUUUCAUUUAAUACAAGUUUUUCUAAAUUUUACCAUUUGAAACCCUAGAUUUUGGGAUUUAGGGUUUAUUUUGGGGAUUUUUGAUUUGAGGGCUUUGAAACCUAAUUGAUGGGUUUAGAACCUUCAUUUAGGUUGGAUUUGAAAAACUCUAACUCCCAUUUGGAGCUUGAGAGAGGAUUUCUUCACCUAGGUGAGUUUUCUCCACCUUAGCCUAUGUUGCUUAUUGUUUGAGCUUAGGGUUGAUCGUAAGGUUUGUUUGACCCUUGUUCCUAUAUCUUUAGGGUGCUAGGAGACUAGUCGACACCUUCGUCGAAGCUUACGAAGGGUUUCGGAAUUUUCGGUGGGUUUGACUUCAUGAAAACGGGGCGAAAAGGUCCCUAAGUAUUUUAUACUUGUCGUAACAUCAAUUUGAUUGCAUAUUCAUGUUAAAUGGGACUUAUGUGAAUUUUAGAACACUUAAAAUGCAUGCCUUAUGUAUCAUAAAAUUUCACUCUAUAUAGUAGGGCCUUCUGGGCAUUUUUGCAUGCAUAUGGGAAGUGUUUGUGUAGCGACUUGGUGUUGAAGCAUUAAAAAAAAAAAGGAAAGAAGAAGAAGAAAAAAAAAAGAGAAAAAAAAAGUGGAAAGAGAGAAAAUUUGAAUAAUGGUGUAUGAGACGAUCUAUGCACUAGGUGCGUGGAGAAAAUUUGAGUUCAAAUUUUGAACGUGGUGCAUAGGUUAAUCCAUGCACCAGGUGCAUAGACUACAAAGAGAAGGAAGAGAGAAUGCUCUCGUAUGGGUAUUACACAUAGCAAAUUAGUCCUUUCCCUUUCAUAUAUUUGCAUGAUACUCCACUUCAAGCAUAUAAUAUGUUUUUUAUUUUAACUAAAGUAUAAUAUAAGCAAAUGAGAAGGGCUAAUAUGCAAUACCAUACCCAUGAUCCCAUGACCAAAAUAUCCUAACUACCCACAUCCCACUACCCCUAUCAUCUGCACGUUCUAAAAAAAAAAAAAGGGGAAAAUGAGAGAAAAAAAAAAUCCAAGCAGUUAUAACCUAAGUCCAUAAAUAUCUAUUUGGACCCCAAUUGGAACACUUUGUUUUUUGAACUCUCAAACCCAUUCCUAAAAAAAAAAAUCCCACUGUUUACGAAAGAAAAAAGAAAGGUAAUUUUCUCUUCUCCAUGGAUGCUACAAUCAAAGCUCUCUCUCUCUCUCUCUUUCUCUCUCUCACCAUUAACGCCGUAAAUCGCAUCGACACUCUCCAUUAACGCCUCAUGGCGGAGCUUGGGCGCCUCUCCGACGACUUCCGCAAAGACUUCCACCCACGAGUUCGGCCUCCGCCUCCUUGACGCACACCUCGUCUUCGUGCGCCGCAUCGGUGGCAUCGCCGCGUGCGGGUGCAACGCCCAACGCGAUUUCGUCCUCACCCUCACCUUCGUCGCUUACCACCCGCCGUCCGCCUGGGCGCUACUCGACCCCCUUUGCGUCGCCCGCCUCGCCGACUACGCCGUACCCGAUGCCUCCCGCGACUACCGCCGCCUCGUCGUCGAGUUUGCACGCGCCGGCCUCUUCGAGAAGAAGGGCCGCGGCGCGCUCCUCGUGUUGGCCGCCAUGCUCCUCAUGCUCGCCGACGCCUUCUACGGCGUCGUCGCUUCCUCCAGCCCCGCCGUCGACUUGCUCUCGGCGGCCCUCAUGGGCGCUCUUUGGAUGCAGCCUGGCUUCCUCGACCACGACUCUGGCCACUAUAAUGUCCUGCUCACCCCCCCCCCGCACUAAAUCGACUCGUGCAGGUGGUGGCUGGAAACUGCAUGGCGAGGAUCAGUAGUGAGUGGUGGAAGUAGAACUACAAUGCACACCACAUCGCCUGCAACAACCUGGACUUCAACCCGGACGUCCAGCACAUGCCGCUGUUCACCGUGUCCGCCAGGCCCUUCGCGUCGUUGCUGUCGGCCUUCUACGGGACGCCCUCGACACCGGCCUCUUCUCCGUCAUGGUCGGCCUCGUCACCGCUCACCAGGUGUUCGCUCUGUGUCCACAGCCUUCUACGGGACGCCCUCGACACCGGCCUCUUCUCCGACAUGGCCGGACUUAUCACCGCUCACCAGGNUUCUCCGUCAUGGUCGGCCUCGUCACCGCUCACCAGGUGUUCGCUCUGUGUCCACAGCCUUCUACGGGACGCCCUCGACACCGGCCUCUUCUCCGACAUGGCCGGACUUAUCACCGCUCACCAGGUGUUCGCUCUGUGUCCACAACGAACAUCGGUUCUUUAAAAAGAGGUUUCUAUUAGUCUACUCCCCCUCCGGCAGCAGCCGUUGUAUCUCGCUCGCCACCAGCGGAUCCUUGAUCCCCCACGACGAAGGCGAUAGUAUGUUGAAGCUGCAAGCUGCGGGCGAGGUGCGGCGGCUACAUCGCGCGAGCCGCGGCGUCGGUCCAGGCUGCGGCGCUCAAGGCGGAGCACGUGCAGGCGGUGGUGGCCCCAACCGUCGAGAAGGUACUGCAGAACGUCCUGCAGUCGUGCCGCGACAGCUAUGGAUCGGCGGUGGACGCGCUGCAGAAUGCGCCGACGAUUGGUGCGCGACGGCGGGCGGCUCGCGGACGUCAACAGUGAGCUCUCGGCCGCCGGCACGUUCUUUGACACCUGCUAGAACUCGUUCGACGAGUUCCCGGACGUCGACGGCUCACCCCUCGCAAACGUGCAGACCAAUCUCAGCAGGCUCGCCAGCAACAGCAUCAGCCUCGCCACCUACAAGGCCUUCUAGGAUGUUGCUCUGACGGAGUUGGCGCCGACGAAUCAUGCCUACCAAUUGUUUGAUGAAAUGCCUAAGAUGUAUUUUUGACGGCGAAUCCAAUCUGUACAUGAAGAGCGAGAGCGGUGCUUUUCUCUUUAUAAAAAAUAAUGUCUUAUCAAAAGAGAGUGAGCGGUGUUCUUCUCUUUAUAAAAAAAAAUAUAGCAUCAUCGAAAGAGGGAGAGAGCGGUGCUCUUCUCUUUGCAAAAAAAAAGUAUAUUAUCAAAAGAGAGAGAGAAAGAGAUUACUUCUCUAAUUACCAAAGAGAGAGGGAGCUUUGUUACAAAAAGGGAGGCAAGGAAGGGAUUUUUCCACCUUAGUUGUCCCAUGAAUAUAAAAGAAGACAAGAAGGAUUAUCCAUCUUUGUUGUCCUGUAGUUUCAAAGGAAAUAAAGAGAAAAAUACUCUCUUAAUUCUCCUAUAAUGAGGAGACAAAAGAAAAUUAAUCGGGUUAUCGAUUAAUAUUCUUUUGAUCGUCCUUUUAUUGGAAGAACAAUGGGAUGUUCGGAAAAUCGAACUCUUUGAUUCUAUCCAAAGUCGAAUCUUUCGAUUUGGCCAAAUUAGACUAAAUUGAGAUUUAAUCGCAUUGGACAUUUUAUGUGAUUCAUAAAAAAAUGCAUUCGAAAUUUUUUUAAGUGAUGAAUUUGAUUCUGAAUCAUACAUUUAAAUAUUUUGAUCUCAUAUGAUCCCAAAUUAACCACCUCAAAACAAUGGAUCGAGUCUAUACCCACCUCAAAUUACACAAUUCAGGCUCAGCCCAAAUGUGAAUACAUAACUCAGGUUAAGCUCAAACAUAAAUUUGGGCCCAAUUCUAUAGCUUGCCUAAAGAAAACUUUGACUUAAGCCAUGCGGGCCUAAACUGAGCCCAAGCCUAUAUCUAGAAUUUAAAUUCAAUUCAGGCCUCAACCAUAUGGGCUUAAAUUUAGUCCAUGCCUGAAUAUAAUUAUAUGGGUCCGAAUUUGGAUCAUACUUGAAUCUAUAGCAGAAUUGAACCAAUUACAUGAAGCCAUGGAUUUCCUCAUAUGGACUAGCACCAAAUCCAAAUAUUUAAUCCAAAUCAAGAUUUGAAAUUAUGCUUAUCGAUCAAAUCCGCUCUUGAACCUAAGCCACAUAGGCUAGGUACAACCGGAAUAUGAAACUAGGUCGUACCAACUUUUUAAUCCAAUUCUCUAGCACGUUAAGCUAGAGUCAUGUUGUUACCACAUUCAUAUUAGAUCAAAUUCUAAAUUAUUUGUUUAGAAUUAAUCAAACCAUCUAUUUAUCUUAGUAUAUAUGACUAAGAUAAAAAUAAUAAAUUAGGUUUCACCUAAUCAAAAAUUUAUUGAACUCUAAUACAUUUACUUAAGAGUUCAAACAAAUGAAAAUGAAUUAAACUCUAAUACAUACACUUAGAAUUUAAUUUAAAUUAAAUUUUGACUAAUCCUAAUAUAUAUAAUUAGGAUUUAGUUGAUAUUUCACCUCAUGGUGAACCCAAAUGAAACCGAAUUAGACUCUAAUACAUACACUUAGAGUUUAAUUUAAAUUAAAUUUUGACUAAUCCUAAUAUAUAUAAUUAGGAUUUAGUUCAUGGUGAACCCAAUGAACCUGAAUUAGACUCUAAUGCAUACACUUAGAGUCUAAUUUAAAUCAAAUUUUGACUAAUCCUAAUAUAUAUAAUUAGGAUUUAGUUAAUAUUUCACCUUAUGGUGAACUCAAUGUGAGACAUAAUUAAGCUCUAACAUAUAAACAUAGAGCUUAAUUACACUGGACUUUGAGAUAUUAAAUUGGAGUCUAAUCCUAACACAUACAUUUAGGAUGAAGGCUUAAAUUGAAUAUCAAAUCAAAUCCCAUUGGACUUUAUCACAUAUAUUUAAAGUUCAAUUAACUAAAUCAAACUCUAAUUCAUUUAAUUAGAGUUUAAUUUGAAUCAAAUCUGAUUAAAUCCCAAUGUAUAUACAUGGAAUUUAAUCAACCUUUCAUCUUAGGGUGAACAAUAUUGUUGAGCACUGAAACAUAUAGAGCCCAACCAAAUCAAUUUAAUCAUACACUUUGAUAUCUUCGAAUAUAUAUAACUAAGGUUCAGAAUCAAAUUCAAUCAAUCGUCAUAUUCAUGUCAUUUUAUUAUAUUCAUGUACAUUAGGGGGAUGCCCCUGGUUAAGCCAUGUAAUUGUAUACCGAAUUAUGUUAUUCAAUUUCAGUCCAUUUCGGCAUUACAAAGGUCUCUCAAUCGAAGGUGCCCUAACACUUUGUAGGGGUAAUUAACAAUAAACGCUUGCGUUUAUUGAAAGUCAUGAAUCCACAAUACCUGAUAACUAUAUAUAAUUAAAUAUUAAUCUGAAUCAUGAAUACUGCCCCACGGUAAAAAUCAAAAUAAGAUAGACCGUGCGAGGUGCGUCAUUCAUGGUCGCAGACAAAAUGGCACGCUCGGUGGGACUUGGCUUCUCCUUCCAUCUUUGAGACCAAUGUUAUGCGGAUAGAAUUAGAUGAUAGAUGUUUAAUCUACACUCGUUAUUCUCUUGCAGGAGAAAUGGCACUGAAGAACGCUGCUACUGCUACAGGUUCGAUGAUGAUCAAUGCAGGUCAGGUUUGCCUACCGGCAUCUGUCCUCACCAUUGGAGCUGCCGGUGCUGCGAUCCAGUUCGGCACCAUCCCAGAAGAGGCUCGGGCUGCGGCGAUGGCCCCUUUCAAUGCUAUUACAAGCACGAAUGAUGUUCCACCUCUUCCCUCUCGUGGGAGGCGUCCGAAUGUCGUCAUUCCCAACCCCCCUCGCGUUCCUGUGAAGGAGAGGAGACUUCUAUUAGUGCUUCAAAGAAAAUGGAAUUACAAGGAAGACUGGUGUUCCAAAACCGAAUUGACGAAACAUCGCCACUUGAUAUAGCACCUAAAGCUUCAGUCUUCAAUAGGCUGACAUUCCCCAAGGAUACUGUGACCAAGGCAUUCAAGAGAAAUCUUCGUCGUACUUUGAAGCGGCAAGAGAUGAACAAAGAAAACAAGUCUCAACAAACCCAACUUAAUAGGUUUAUCGCCGGGCCCGACGUUUUGGCCCAUAACCACUAUGCACCCUUGAGAUUUGUGAGAAAAAACUCACCUACUGCCAUUCUGCUCCCCGAGUCAGAAAUGGCCCAUUUAAAACCUUCUUUUGCAUGUCCUUGCUUGAGAAACAAUGACAAGAACUCUGUCUUCAAGCAGAUAUAUAAAACUUUUAAGGCUGCAAAAGGAAGAAUGAACCUAGAGAAGAAAAUUGAGAAGUCGAAGUGGCAACGAAAGUCAACACUAUCAUGGGAAGGAAGAAAGACAGAGUGGAAGCCUAAAACUCUUGCUCAGAUUAAAGAAGAAAAAUCUAAAAUAGAGAAUUUGGAGAUUCACACUGUGAGAGUUAUUGGACACACGCCGUCAAGUGAGGCCGUUGAUGAAGAAGAAACUAUUCAGCAAAUUCUUACGAGAGCUGCUGCAAGAAAAGCCGCGGAAGAGAAAGCAAGAGCUAAGGAAGCAAGCUCUUCGCAAACACAAAAUAUGGAGAAUAAAGAUGAUAUGCCUAGUGAUCCAUCUGACCCCCGAGAGGAAGAGGAGGUUGUCUACUUCUCAAGGGAUCCAAAGGAUGUUAUGAUUGCAUCCUUGAAAAAGAAAGUUGAUGAAAAGGAUAGAGAUAUCAUAAAUCUCUAUAAGAAGAUGGAGGAGGUCAUGAGUUUGAUGUUGAAUGUGCAGAAGCAAUUGGGGGAUCAACGGCGUCAAACCAAGAUUCUAACCCAGCCGGAAGCACACAUACCACAAGUCAUUGAUGAACAGGCUAAAACAACUGUUCUUAAAGAGACUACCUCUUUGACUAAGGAAGAAAUUCAUGAUUUGAUCACUUCGCAAGUUAAAGAGACGGUAGCAGGGGCACAUCCAAAACUGAAAGGGAAAGGACACCCUUACCUAUCGGAAUACGAUAACGUACCUUUUCCAGAAGGGUAUCAGGUCCCUAAGUUCAAGAUGUUCUAUGGUGUUGGUAACCCUGAUCAGCAUAUAGCACAUUUUAAGGCCAUGUGUGGAAAUACGGGGAGUAACGGACCUCUACUCUUGCGACAAUUUCCACAAAGCUUAUCAGGUAUAGCUUUUGAAUGGUACUACUCCCUCGAAGAUGAGUCCAUUAAAACUUGGGCCGACAUGGAAGAAGCUUUCAGAGCAAAAUUCGCCACCGUUAGCGAUAAGAUUACUAUCGCUGAUCUGGUAGCCACCAGACGAAGAAAAGAUGAAACAAUGCUAGAUUACAUUACAAGGUGGCGGAACUUAAGUAUAAGGUGUGAACAACCUCUAGACCAGUCUCAAGCCGUUGGUCUUGUCAUGGGCAAUAUUGAUAAUUGGAUGGCCCCUUUUCUCUGCACAUCUAGUUGUUCCACUUUUCAUGAAUUAAUAUCAAAUAUUUCUAGAUUGGAGAGAACCGAUCCCCAGGUCCUCUUAAACUUACAAAAGAUAAAAAAAGAUGAUAACAAAAGAGUUGAGGCGAAGUUGGCACAGGCUAGACCGGCCCGCACAAAUAUGAUAGAGAAAGGAAAGAAGGCAAUUACCUCUACAGUUGAACAGCCCCCUGUAAAACCUGUGUUAGGGGGUAAUAAUCCAAAAGGGAUUUCUUUAGAGGAGCGAAGAAACAAAGUAUACCCUUUCAAACGGGACAAAGUUAAGAAAAUAUUUAACGAUGCUGUUAAAAAUGGUCUUCAACUGCCGGAGCCAAAGAAGCCAGAGGAUGUAGGGAAAACCAGUGAUCCGAACUAUUGCCUAUAUCAUAGAUUAAUCAGCCAUCCAAUUGAAGACUGCUGGGUUUUCAAAGACUGGGUUGAAAAACAAUAUAGGAGCGGUGCAAUCACUCUUUCACAAUCAGUGUUAUCAGAAGCUCCAGUCGAAAAGACCAAUCUGAUUGAUACUGAAAAUAUAGAAGAAGUUGAGAAUGCAUUUCCUCCCGAGUUUUGGAAUAUAUUCUUAUCUAAGAAAACUCGAAAGAUGUUAAAAUAUUUAAAAGAUGUUCCAGGAAUAAAAUGGCGAGGUCCCUUAAACCCAGAAGUGCAAUCUGAGGAUAAGCCCACACCUCCAAUCAAAAAGAUUAAUACUUCAGCCAAGUCAAGGCGCAGAAUAACUCGGGUAAAGAAGAAUAAAAAAUUUGUUGAGCCGGCUCAACCACAACAUAAGAAGCGGCCUAUUGAGGAACAUAUCGACUCAAUGGAAGAAUAUAAACAAGUUGAAAGAGAGCCUCUUAUGAUUCAUGAUUUUAUUUUUAAAGCAAUAGAAGAGGUUAAGAAAAAAAAAGGACUCUGAUGAAAGAGAAAUUCCUGUCGAGGAGUGUAAAGAGAAAUGAGAGCCUUUUUGGGGAGAGACUUGCAUAGUCAUCACCGCACAACGUGACGAUGAAGAAAUUAUCUUUCCUUCUAGCCACGUUAGGGAACAAGAAAGGAACCUCAGAGAAGUUCAUAACUAAUUGGCAGAAAUAAAAGAAAUGACGCGCUACAACUUUCACAAGGCGAAUGAUAAAAUAUUGGAUAUGAAAGCACAACUGAAUGUAAUGUUCUCUAUGUUGAUCGGGAUCGAAGCCAGAGUGGAACAAUUAAUGAAGAUUACUCCUCUCCCUCAACAGACUCAGUCGCAAAAUAAUAGAGAACGAGAUAUCGAGCCUACAAGUGGAUCUUCAAAACAGCUCCCACUCGAAACUCCUCAAAAAGAUAAAGGAAAAACUCCCCUUAUAGAAGCCAAAAAUAAGGGUGGAGUCAAUAAAAAAUUUAACAAAAGGGAAUGUUCGAGAACGACGCCGACGGGAGGCGUUAAUUCUUAGUAUUCUGACAGCAAAAAUACAUCUAUAUAUUACCCUUUUCAUCAAGUGAAUGUCAUAACCUAGAAAACUGUCGUGUCAUUACGACAUCUGAUGACGUGCUAGAAAGACCUGCGCCGACCUUGAGAGCAAAUCAACAGACAUCCACACCAAACUAUAAUGCUUAUGUUGAUCCUUUGGAAUUAUACGACACUUCAACUUAUCAUGAUCCAAUGAAGAAAUUAUAUAGAAUGGAGUGUUGCUUAAUCAGAAUGGAGGGAGAAAUGAGGAGGCUGCACAAUGAAAUUAACGUUAUGAAGAUGAACGUGAACGAAAUAAUCGAUGGUAUAAAAGGCAUAGAUAUUCAAAUGAGAGCUAUCAUAGAUAUGCUCAAAACCGAUGUUACUGAAGUAUCGAAAAGAUAUCGGGUCGAGAUUUGUCGAGUCAUAACUAUGCAAGCUGAUUUAAAGGAAGAUGAUAAGAAGCAAGGCUCGGAGCAAUCAAAGUUAACAAAAGCCGAAUACGACGCAAGUUUCUAUGAAGCACACAUAAUUGCUCAAGAGCUUAAAAGAAUGUCGAUGAGAGGAAAUGCGGGGUCAUCUUUACUAAAAAAGAAGAAGAAUACAACCCUAAACCAGCAAUCAGAAGUUCACCAAAAUAAUAAAGCUCUAAUUAAAGGGAAUAACGAAGAAAAGAAUAAAGUUACGUUGACAGAAUUCUGUGCCUAUCAUAACAUAUGGGGACACACCCUGGAAAAUUGCCGCCAAUGGAAAAACAUGAAGAAUUUGCCUAUGCACAAGGCGAAGCCAAAGAUCGAUCAACCGACGGUUGCCGAAUCCAAAAGACAACGAUGGAAGAAACAUUUUCCACGAUUUGAGAAACAGCAAUCCAUUACUCCAGAAGAAUUCAGAAAAGCAUGCUAUAAUGCUUUGGAUGAUAUGAAAUUUGUUGUUUUUGGUGUGGAAUGAGAGGUCAUGCUUAUGAUGUAUGCGUGAAACUUCGGGACCAUAGAAAAAACAAAUUACAGUUCAAGGAGUCGUGUCGGGUAAUAACAAUCUCCGAAGAGCAAUCUGAAGACUCCGUAAAUCAAAGGAAUAUGGUUAGACAACCUGCUGUGGCAUGUGAAGAUAGUGAUAGUGCCUGGAUAGCAUACAAUACCCCCAGCAGGGAUAACGGUGCAAGGAAGUCGAAUAGUCAUUUCUCGAAAUAGACAAUGAUUAUGAGGGAGGAGUGCACAGAUUGAUGUAUGCACUCUAGCAACAACAUGACGUGUGUGGCUAUGGCAUAAAAAAUAUGAAAGAGCUAAAUAAAAGAGAUACUUUGAUAAGUUUGAAUAUUAUUGAAAAGACUAGAAUUCGAAGUGCCGAAAACUAUUAGCCUGUGGCUUGUCGAUUUUCUAAUAACGUGCUAACACACUGGAUCUGUCUGAAAUUGCGAGUUCGGGAUUGGGUAUGUUCGAGCUUUUCCAUAUUUCGUGCGUGGAGUUUGUAGAAUGUCUUUUCCGACCGUAAAAGGGGUCGAAACUGAAAUUCCUGGACAGUCCUGAGAGUUUUUACUCUCGGGGACCGGUCCCUGGAAGGAGAAGACGCGUCCCCAAUGAGCAGUGUUGUGGCGCCUUGAGGCAACCGGCCUGGCAGGGAGACGUCCCGAGAGGGUAUAUGUGAUUUAUACGUGACGGCUCCUUUAAUGGAUUGGGGCUGUUGGUUUUGAUGCCAGGACGGGAAAGUGAUUCGGUAGCAUCUCCGCAAUUGAAGGAUUAUGAGAGGAACUAUCCCUACUCAUGACUUGGAUUUGGGGAGCCGUAGUCUUUGAAUUGAGCGUUGGCGCCAUUACUCUAUGAGCGAGCGAAUGCGAAGUAUAUACGGAUCAUCCAAAAGUUAAAGUAUCUAUUUCACUCAGAAGGAGUUGAGGACCAGCAGCAGAAUGCGUUGGAUCUAAUCAGGAUUGAUGACUUUGACGAUACCCUUGACACCGGGCAAGACAACGUGGUGCGGAUGCGCUAAGUAGAAAGAUCGGCACUUGAGAACUUAGCGAUGCGUGGUGGUUAUCAACCGCCGUUGAUCGGCAGAUUGAAGCGGUUGGAGUUGGAGGUGGUGCGCUCCUGAACAACCUUGGGAGACGGGGAUUGGCUUUGGUGGUCGUGCAACCUACACCUUUUGGAAAAGGAAUUUAAAGAAAAGCAAGCUUCCGACGGGUUGCAAUAAGAUUCGAGCUAGGGGGUUGACUGUUUUGCACCGAUGACUUCACUUUUAGACUGUGUGGAUUGAUGCGUUUCCGCGGCACCGAUUUGUGUACGGCGGACUUGGGCAUUAAAGAGCGAUAUUCUUUAAGAAGCACAUCGGAGCACCGUAUGCUUUGCAUCGGGAGGCACAAGAUGUACAAGGAUUGAAAGUUGCUUUAUUGGUAGCCCGGGUAUGAAAAGGAUGUGGUGCAGUUCGUUGCUAGAUGUUUUAAAUCUUGCCAACAGAGUGAAGCGGCUGCAGCAGCCGAGCUUCUGCGGGGAAGCUGCCAGCACCUUACCGGUUCAGUGUGGAAGUGGAAAAGGAUCAUGAUGGAACUUCUGAGGGAUUGCCUCGCUCACAGGCUCCUGGGCAUGAUUGCAUUUGGGUGAUCGUGGAUACGAAUUGCGCGAAAUCGGGCACAUUGUCAUACUCUAUCCGCCCCCCACCACUACUUGGGAUGGUGAUGAGACUCUGCACAGGUUUUUUUGACGAGAUUGUGCCGAUGCACGGGUACCUACUUCUAUAGGUUCGGAUCGAUAGAUACCCGUUUUGUAUCCCACUUGGUUGGCGGAGUUACAGGACAACGUUUUGGGUACACACUUGGAUUUCACCACUGCUUUCACCCCCAGAGUGACGGGCAGUCAGAGCGUACUGAUUCAGACUUCUCAGGAGGACAUGUUUCGCGUUGUGUGAUUGACUUUCAGGGAGGAUGGUGCAGCCUCAUAUCCGAUGGCAGACGUUUGCUAUGAUAACAAUAGCUUUAUGAAGGCAAGCAUCAAGAUGGCACUGUAAUCGAGGACUCUAUGGACGAAGUGUAGAUCGCACUUAUUGGAGUGAAGUUGGUGAGAAGAUUGGCUUUUGCCCUGUAUGUGGCGUCCAGGAAGCAGAGGACAGGUUCGCAAUUGCUCGGGAGCCGAAUUGUUGACCGGCCAGAGUAGGCCAAGCAGGAGUUAUGCUGACAGGCGGCGACGAGACUUGGAGUUUCAGAUUGGAGAUCACGUCUUCUUGAAAGUCUUGUCGACUCGAGGAAUUAAAUGAUUUGGAAUCCGGGGCAAGUUGAGCCCUCGAUUUAUUGGACCGUUUGAGGUUUUGGAGCGGGUAGGCCCGGUAGCGUAUAGACUUGCUCUACCGCUGAACCUAUCGGGUGUACACAACGUAUUCCAUGUAUCGGUCCUUCAGAAGUACAUCCACAACCCGGCUCACGUGUUGGAUGCUACGCCUUUGGAGCUGAGGGAUGAUUUGAGCUUUGAAGAGCAACCCUUGAGGAUUUUGGCUCGCGAGGUAAAAAGAUUGCGGAACCGAGAAAUUCCCUACGUGAAGGUGCUUUGGAGCAACCACGAAGAGCGCGAGGCAACUUGGGAACUGGAAAGCGCGCUGCGGGAGCGCUAUCCUCAUCUUUUUCAGAUGGAGGCUUGAGGUAUUUGUCAUUUCGAGUUUCGCGGACGAAACUCCUUUUUAGGAGGGGUGAAGUAACACACUGGAUCUCUGCAAAUUGCGAGGUUCGAGUGCUUGGAUGUAUUUCGAGCUUUUCCACACUUGGUGGAGGGUUGUAGAAUAUUUUUCGACCUAAAAAGUUCGAAAACUGGAAUUCUGGACAAGUCCUGAGAGUUUUUACUCUCGGGGACCGGUCCUUGGAAGGAAAGACCGGUCCCCCAGUGAGCAGUGUUGUGGCAGCCCUGAGGCAACCGGUCCCUGGCAGGCGAGACUGGUCCCCGAACUCAUCUUCGCAGUGAGAGACCGGUCCCGCGCAGGGAGAGACCGGUUUUCGAACGUUGGUUUUUCGGGUUCACAGCGAGAGACCGGUCCCUGCUGGGGAGAGACCGGUCCCUCUGGGCGAAAACUACCCAGACUGGGCUGUUGUAAUUUUGGAUUUUUGGGGGACCUAGCUGGAUUUUGUUACAAUAGAGGGUCUAUAUGACCCAUCCACUCUCUCCUCUCCUCAUUUCUCUUCUNAUAAGGCGUCUACAAUAAAAGCGGAAGUAAAAGCAAGAAAUAUAACAAAAGAAAGGAACUACAGCUAAUGAUAUCAGAGCAGUAAGAUUCUAUCUUCUAUAACAGUAGUAAAAGAACAACUAAACCAUAAAAGUAAACGUAAAGUAAUACAAUGCCUGUCUCAAAAGUACAAAAAUGGUGGUCUCUAGUACACUGGUAAAACUCUCAACCUCUCUAAAAAAGAAACAAAGAGAGGUAGACCACCUAUCAAACGAUCCCUCGGCGAGGAAAGCUAGCCCGAGACGAUACCCUUUCCGCGAUCCCUAGCCUCUCCCGGCGUGGAAGGCUCUGAAAAGCAUCGAGAAAAAGAGGGCGUGAGAACUAUAAUUUAUAGUUCUCAGUGGGCAAUUACUGACCUCAGCUCAAUGCACCACUAGGCCCCAAAGAAAAGGGUAAGUAAAAAGAGGGCAAUAAUAAUGAAUAAACUGCAUUUAUGAAAGCAUAAUUAAAAUGCUAAACUACUACACUGCAAUUAACAGGAUGUUAAUAUAAUACACCUUUAUUUUGUCAUAACCAAUAUGUCUCUACAUGGCCACAAUUAAAAGUCACGGUUUACUUAAUGAAGUUAUGAAGAUCAUGCUUUAUCAUGGCAACAAUGUAUAUAUGAAUGCAAUAAGCAACCUCUCCUAGCAUGCUACAUGUAUGUAUGUAUACUCAAAUAUCCCAAAACUAUGCUAGAAGCAAGUCCAAGUAAUCCAACUACCACUCUCUAUCUAGUAGUGAUUAUAACACACUCGACAUUGUGUCGAUUUCAAUUUCCAAUUAAGAACCUACCAAAGGUAGUCCAGCUUGUGCCGCCUAAGUGCCUGUGGUAGCCCAACAUUCCUACUCUUGGAAUGUGUCUAUCCCACUCGACCCCGCAGGCUUUUCAAUACCGCACGAGCGAACAUAGGUCGCGUAGGCUAACUCCGGAGUGCCGGCUUGUAGGGAGCGACCCUCACAAGCAUGUGCGAAUAAGCACAAAUGGCAAGCAAUCAUGGUCCAAGUCUCAAGUAUCCAAUCCUCAUGUCUCUAACAUGGUAUAGUCACUAGCAUCCCGAAGAUCUAGUUCUAAGUCACAAUGUGAAGUUUCGACAUUCAUUACGCCUAGUGCCCCUUGAUGACACUUAGACAAGUUAAUGUUCAACAUGUUUCCAAUCCCUCAAUGGCCCUAUUUACUAGGUUCAACCAUGUCCCGAGCUCAAUGCCGCUUAAUGACAUUAGCCCUCUAAAUCACAUAAUAACCAAGUUCGGUGCCUCUAUAUGGCAAUUUUGUUAUCUCUCAUGUCUCAAUUAAACUUAAGUUUGAAUGCAUGUAUCAAGGCUCAUUUACACAAUAGAAACAUGAAACCAAGUCUCAUAUAGAACGCUAAUGCAACCCUAUGUCUCUCAAGCAACUCUCUACUACAUAGAGGUCCAAAAUUUCAUUACAUGUAACAUAGGCAUUUUAAGCAUUCUAAAAAUCAUAAUAAAUGCACGUAACAUGAAUUUGCAUGCUUUUUCAAUUAACGAUACUCAAAUCAUCACAAAUGAGAUUUUCUCAUUGUGUGGCUAGAUCAAACCCACCGAACCGUCGCAUGGUCCUUCGUUUCGCCGAACGGAGUUAUCCACGAGUCUCAAAAUACCCUAAAAGUAUUGAGCGGAGAGAUACACGGGCAUUACGAUCAAGUAUAAGAUCAAACAUUAACCUAAAAGCAAAAAGGGCCAAAACUCACCUCAAGAAAAGAAAUCUCUUCCAAAGCUCCAAAAGAGAGCUAGAACCCUUCCAAUCUAGCCUAGAGGAAGGUUCUAAUCCAACCAAUCUAGCCUCAAAAGCCCUAGAAUCAAAAUACCCAAAAUAAGCCCUAAAUCUAUAAUCUAGGGUUCCAUCUACCAUAAGGCAUCAAAACCAAAAUCUAAAGGGAGAGAAUAAGCUACCAACCUCUUAGAAGCUUCCAACAAGGUUCAAAGUCUCCAAGGUCCAAGAAUCUCUCCUCCAACAAGCUCCAAACCCAAGCUCUAAUAGUGGAAAUGCCUCUAAUAAUCCAAAAAGAGCAAAAGAAGGGUUUAAUCUCUUAAAAACCUGUAAUAUACCGAAAAAUUCGGAAAAUAAAUAUCGAACUUUAGUCAAAUAGACCAAAGUGCGAGGAUGGUACACUUCGGAAAGCCCGAAGGUGUUAAAAUGACUAAAGGUGAGUUUCGGGAGGUUUUCGAGAGCUAAAAUUGUGAAAUUUGCAUUCUGCAGGUUUUCAGCUCUCGGGGACCGGUCCCUGGUGGGAGAGACCGGUCCCCGAACGCGUAUGAAAUGAGAUAGCCGAAAAAUCGGCUAAGUCCUGAGAAAUUAGCUCUCGGGAACCGGUCCCUACCCGAGAGACCGGUCCCCGAGAGACCGGUCCCACCAGGAGAGACCGGUUGCACUGCGCGCAGCAGCUCUGGCUGCGCUGGGACGACGUUCCGGAACCGGUCCCUGAAGGAGAGACCGGUCCCCGCCUGCGUGAACUGCCCAGUUCGGGCAGUGUAUUAAAGUGAAAGUUAAGGGGUUUAGCUGCAAUUUUGCAACCCAUUGAGUAUAGUAUUGGGGUAAAUGAGAUAUUUCUCUCAUUCUCACCCUCUCACACUCUUCUCUCUCACUCUCUCUCUCUAGAAGACAAAGGAGAAGAAGAAGAAAGGAAGAAAAGAAGGAGAAGAAGGAAAAGAAGGUGAAGAAGAAGAUCAAGGAGCAAAGGAGCUCCAUCCUCUUCCUCUCUAGUGCAAGAAAAGGAAGCUUAUAAGGUAAGCUUUGAACCCUAAUGUGGUAAAACCCUAGAAAUGGGUUUGGAUGACCUAGAAAUGGGUUUUAGUGAAAUGUUUAGAGAGUUUUGAAGCUUUCUUUUGCUUCUUUAGAGAUCAAAACCAUGGUUGGGCUCAAGGUGAGCUUCAACCCACCUCUAAUGGUGAAAUCUAAUCUAGGGUGUUGGAAAGCCUAAGAAUGGUUCUAAUGGACUAUUUGGAGUAUAGUGAAGCUACUUUUGCUUCCCAAAGAGAUCAAACCCUAGGUUUUGAUAUACAUUGGAGCUAGGGCACCCAAAUUGGGGCUUUUGCUCAUGAGGGUUUUUAAGUGUAAUUGACCCUCCAAAAACCUAAUUGGGGGUAUUUCCGACGCGUUGGUGCGCUCGGAUUAACGCUACGAAAAGUCAAAGUAAAGUUAUGAGCAAAAUGGCCUAAUAAGGGUUCGUUUUGCCACAGGUAAGGAACGAAGCAUCUAAAAAUCCCAAGAAAAUCGUCGGAGCACCUUUGAAAGCCUACGAGGUGGGUGGCGCUUCUCAAACUCAUUGAACUUCUCUCUAUGCCUAAUGUGUCAUUCAUUUGAGCAUGUGUAAUAUAUAUUGUUGCAUGCAUAUUAGGGUAAAGUAAUGAUAAGAAUGUGAUGAUAGCAUGAUUGUGAGUACAACUUGCUUAUAAUGAUGGUAGAGAACCAAAUAAAUGUCAAAACCCUAAGUGUAUGCAUUAGAGAAAAGUGAGCACCCAAAGUGAGCAAAAGAACAGAGUGACACAAUGACAUAGAUCGAGUGGCAUUCGAAAAUGUAAAGUUAAGAGACACUAAAGUUAGUGUGAUGCCAAGAACUAAUGUGAUGUAAAGAAUAAUGAAAAUGACAAUGUGUAAUGUUAAAGUAAAGUGGAGCAAUAAGAAUAAGAAAUGUAUGGACAAGAAUGCUAGAGCUAGCUGAAGUAAAGAAAUGUAAAGAAUGUGAUUGCAUGAGUUUGCAACAUAAAGCGAUGUAAAGAACACUAGAGCUAGUGUAAAGUCAAGAUUGAACUUAUAAAUCCUUUGAGUUAAGGAUAUGAUCAUACUUGCUAUAAGUUCCGUGCUCGAGGGCGGUCGCUCCCCCUCGGGCGAUGCGCUCAGGAGUUAUGCAUCACGGGUUGGAGUAAACCCGAAGGACGGUCCUAGCUGGUGAGUUUCUGCGAUGAUGGACUUAAUGUGAAGCAAGUUAAUGUGGCGAAACCUCCGGGUUAGCCUUGAGAUUAAAGAACAAAGAGCAAAGAAUAAAGAACAAAGUACAAAGUAAAGUCAAAGAACGAACGAGUUUGCAUAAUCUGCAUAUAUUUAAUGUUGAGCAAUAUUCGUUCAGGCAUAUAGCAUCAUGUUAUAGAUUGGUUAUCUAUAUCCUGCUUGUCUUUUCUAUUAUGCUGAGUUAGUCUAGUGGAAGUCGGUGAUGUUGAGGCCGAACCCACUGGGACUUUGUUGUAGUUCUCACCCCACUAUUUCCACAGAGCGGGACCGAUGCGAGCCGCGACGACCGAGGUAAAAGUAUCACGAGGCCACCAAAGUUGGGGUACAUUUUGUUAGUAGACACCCUUUUAUCAUCUUUUGUAUUUGAUGACUAGUAAUGUAAAGAAAAGAAUGUAAUGUGUAUUUUGAGGUAAAUGGGAUGUAAGAAAGAAAUGAUGAAAUGAAAUGUAAGGAAUUCGAAAAUGAACAAGAUGAAUGCAAGGUAUAUGAUCAAAAGUGAAUCAUAGUACAAGUGAAUGUUAGUUUCCCUUUUCUUUCACUAAUGGCUAUUGCUUACCCUCGUGUAAGCCGUUUAUGUAUGUUUCCGCUAGUGCUUUUCUCUAUCGAUGAAAAUGUACAUGUGAUGAGCCUUGGGCGGAUAGGGAAAACUCUGUCCGUUCGGCGUCUGUUUGACGUGCUCGGGUCGGGCCAAAUUGGUAUCGGUCCCGGGGCGUAACAAAACCGAAACAAAAUCAAAGAAAUCAAAGAGGAGAGUGUGGAGGGCUCCCUUACCUCUCCUCUUGCUGCUGGUGAGCACAGGGGAGUCCUCAAGGGCGUGGGUGUUGAUAUAAGCAGUCCACAAUUGCAAAAACACCCCUGCAGUUCAAACUGCACGAAAUCAGCCUCCUUGUACCGGUACACGGGCCCCUGUACCAGUACAAGCCCUACGAAACAUCACAACCCGAGGCUCGGGUUGGGGGUUCAACGACUCUGUACCGGUACAAGCCCGGUGGCUGUAUGUAGUAUCUUGAACUUUGCAAAACUAUAGAAGUUGGAAGUGGGGCUGAGGAGUGGCAUGUAACCACAGGUCCUAAUAUUCGUAAAAGUGUUUUGGGUCAAUUUUGAGAGCUAUUAGACUUUUGGAUGUAAGAAAGUGCGUCGUCGAAGCGACCCUGAAACUUAUUAUAUUAUAGUUUACUGAACUUCAACAGUUUGCACAGUUCGAGUGAGGAAUGACAUUUGGAACCUUCCCAUAUGUUCAAAAGGGUUCAAAGAUGUUUACAAAUUAGUUUGAGAGUGGUCGGAAAGCUAGAAGUGAGAAAGUGCAUUGCAAUUGCGAAAUCUGCAAUUUCUGUAUUGGUGUACCGGUACAAGCCUAAUGCUGUACCGGUACAGCAAGCAGCAGAGUCAGCUGCUGCGGGACAACAGGGUUGUUCUGGUCUUUUCACAUCUUUUUCUCAUCCUUAUCUUCCCAGCUCGACCCCUGGACCUCUCUAGAUGGUACUGGAGCUCAGAGAAGACCCCUUCACCUCCUCCACACUCUCUCUCUCUAGGGUUUUCUCUCUCUACAAAGAAAUCGCCGAUUUCGCUCGUGUUCGUCACAAUGUUGGUUUUUCGGCACGUUGCGAGCGUUGCUGAACCUACGAGGAUGUGUGAGGGAGUACUUUGGAAGGAUUUUCGCAGCCCUAGACCCUCAAAGUGCUGUUUGUAGGCCUAAUAAGGUAAUCGACUCAGUCUCUUUGUUAUUAACGCUCUAUUAGUCGAUUUAAGUAUCGAUUAUGGAUUUCUGCUUCCAACUAGGUUAGGCUGAGGUUUCAGCUGUUAGAAAGGAGUUGAUUACCUGUGAGUUAACCUCCUUAGACCUGGGACAUGUUACUUUUAAGCUGAAUAGAGAUGUUUAGCUAUUUAUGAUACUAAUUCGAGCUAUAUACAGGUGAUUGGAUCUAAUUGACGCAGUUUGAACUCUUCCUUUCGCAGCAGGGUUGUGAAUUAAAUUGAGCUCAUUUGGUGACUGUGGGAACUUGUUUAAAAGGUGUUCUAACUCAAGGUAAACAAGAAUUUCAGUUAGGAAGCUGAAAUUGCAAGAAUUCGACUAUAGAAGCCUGCAUAAGAGUAUUCUAAUGCCGUUUUGACGUUGUUCGCAGCAGGAGUGUGAUCGACUCUUGGAGUGAUUUUAGCUGACCGGUGGAAGCUCUUGAAGACUCGACUUGAGGUAUUAAACUGUUGAAGCAGGGGGAUUCAAGCUAUUACCUUGUACUAAAUGUAAUUUAGGCCGAAAUCGGACAUUUCGGUCGUCAUUUUGACGCGGUGUUAAUGUUUGUUUUCAGCAGGGUUGGAGCCUUGUGGAGCUGAUUAUUGCGGCUUCUUGUGACUAUUUGGAGCUUAGUACUAGGUGGGUUUGACCUAACCAGAGCAAGUGAAGCUCCCCCUAUGUUCUAUAUGUAUGGAAUUAAUAUAGUUGGGCGAUAUUGGCGCAAUAUGGUUGUUUGGUACUUCUUUGCCAUAACCUUGAAUAAGACCCUCUAUGAAAUAGAGAGAACUCAUGCGUAAUUGUACUUAUGCUUAUGUUUAUGUUUGUCGGUAGUUAAGUUAAAUAACUAAUGGGCAUGAUAAUUAUGCUUUUGUAAAGUAGAGAACAAUGAUAUUCUCGUGACUUUAUCGAUUAUAAAGUAGAGAACAAUGACAUGCCACGUGACUAUAUAGAGAGUGUCAUAAUGGUGGAAACAUUUUAAUGCCAUAUAUUAACUAGCCUUACUCUCACAUGUUUGUUAAUCUAGUGGAUGCUAGUUGUUGUCAAUAUUGGUUAUAUUGAAAUUCCGAUCAAAGGAUCGAGAGUGAGAAUACUGUGAUAGUUAAGACAUGUCGGAAUAUGGACCUUGCUUGCUUGCCAUCGUGCCCAUUCGCACUUGCUUGUGAGGGUAGCUCCCUACAAGCCGGCACUCCGGAGUUGGCCUACGCGACAGUUGCUCGCCCGUGCGGGAUUGGGUGCCGAAGUGGAUUGCCGUGGGGAGUGUACACUACCACGGGGCCAUUAGGCGCGGCGCAAGCUGAAUUACCCUGGGAAGAUCUCUAUGAAUGAAAGGAAAGUGUUAAAGGAAAUGGAACAGUAAUGAAUGAUUAUCAGUUACAGUGUACCAUAGUUACUUACACAUUCAUACUUAUGAUCAUGCUUAUCAUAGUUGCUAUGCUUUUAUUAUUCACUCGAUUCAUUACUGUUGAGAUUAUGAUUACACAUUGCUUUCGUACUCAUUACCUGUUGGCAUUGCAUAGUUGUAUAUCAUGCAAUUACUGCUUUUACUUUCAUCCAGUACAUCAUGAGCCUAGUGGUGUAAUUCGCCGAGGCUGGCGGCUUACCCACUGGGAACUAUUGUUUAUAGUUCUCACGCCCUUUUUGUUGUUAAUUUUACAGAGCCAUCUACAGAAGAGGCUAGGGAUCGUGGCAAGGGAGUCGCGUCUAGCUAGACAUUGCUAGGAGCGUGCUAGUCGAUCACCUUGCUACUCGGGCUACGGCCGAGGGUAAUGUCCAUUGUAUAGAGUGACUACCAUUGUACAGAUGUUUUGUGUACCCUGUGCUGUAUAUGAGUUGUAGAUCCAGAUAUUAUAGUUCCUACUUCUUCUCUUUUUGCUGAGAUUUUGGAUUGUAUACUCUUUGUUCUUUUACUGAUAGUAUAUCGACUUAUACAUUGCUCUGAUAUCAGGAUAGGACUCUCUCUCUUUUAUUUCCUAUCGACUUGCUUUCUUCGUAGACGCCUUGUAUACUGCAGGUGUAUGGCGGGUCUGUGCACGUACCGGAUAUGCUUCCGCUGGUACCCGGGCGUGACACUGUACCGGUACAACCAUCAACCCUGUACCGGAACAACCAUCAGCUUGUACCGGUACACAGCCCUGAAAACAGCAAUCCGAGAGCAGCCUAAGUCGAACUUUUUGGUGACCUUAGGGCUACUUUAACUACCUCAAGUCUUGGGAUACGAGCCAUGGGUCGGAACUCUGUCAACGACCUACCAGAAAAUCUGGAAAUGCUCAGAAUAUAACUCAGACACUCGAACCUCACAAUUUGCAAAGGUCCAGUGUGUUACACAAGGCUAACGUGGUGGCGGAUGCGCUAAGUAGGAAAUCAACGAAAAAUUUAGCGAUGCAUGUUGUUACUCAACCGCGGUUGAUCGAGUAACCGCGGUUGAUCGAGUAGAUGAAACGGUUGGAGUUGGAGGUAGUGACUCCUGACACACCUUUGAGAUUGAUGACGUUGGUAGUUCAACCUACACUCUUGGAUAGAGUUAAAAAGAAGCAAGCUUCCGAUGUGGAGCUGCAAAGGAUUAAAGGUAAAAUGGUUGAUGGUUGCACCGGCGACUUCCUUGUGGAUGACAAAGGAUUGAUACGUUUCCGUGGACGGAUUUGUAUACCGGCGGAUUCGGGAAUUAAAGAGGAUGUCCUUCAAGAAGCGCACCGAGCGCCCUAUGCUAUUCAUCCAGGAGGCACCAAGAUGUACAAGGACUUGAAGUUGCUUUAUUGGUGGCUCGGGAUGAAAAAGGACGUUGGCGAGUUUGUAGCUCGUUGUCUAACUUGCCAGCAAGUAAAGGCUGAGCAUCGAUUACCCGCGGGAAAACUUCAGAGUUUGCCGAUUUUCGUGUGGAAGUGGGAGAAGAUCACCAUGGAUUUCGUGACUGGAUUGCCUCGCUCUCAGGCCGGGCAUGAUGCUAUAUGGGUGAUCGUGGAUAGGUUGUCGAAGUCCGCGCACUUCAUACCUAUUCAUACUACUUAGAUCGGAGAGAAGCUCGCACAAGUGUACCUUGAUGAGAUUGUGCGACUUCACGGAGUGCCUAUUUCGAUCAUAUCGGAUCGAGACACUCGAUUUGUGUCUCAUUUUUGGAAGAGUCUGCAGGACGCCUUGGACACUCGAUUGGACUUUAGCAUUGCUUUCCACCCUCAGAGUGAUGGGCAGUCGGAGCGCACCAUUCAGACUUUAGAGGAUAUGCUCCGAGCAUUUGUGAUAGACUUUCAGGGAGGAUGGUCGCAGCAUCUACCGAUAGCGGAGUUUGCUUGUAACAACAGUUAUCAAGCAAGCAUCAAGAUGGCGUCCUUCGAAGCACUUUAUGGACGGAAGUGUAGAUCGCCACUUCAAUGGAGUGAAGUUGGCGAGAGAUUGGCAUUGGGCCCUGAUGUGCUCCAGGAAACUGAGGACAAGGUUUGAAUUGCUCGGGAGCGACUUUUGACGGCGCAGAGUAGACAGAGGAGCUACGCCGACCGACGACGGCAAGACUUGGAGUUCCAAGUUGAAGACCAUAUUUUCUUGAAGGUCUCGCCGACUAGAGGGAUCAAGAGAUUCCGGAUUCGGGGUAAGUUGAGCCCCCGUUUUAUUGGACCAUUUGAGAUUUUGGAGCGUGUAGGCCCGGUGGCGUAUCGACUUGCUCUACCACCGAACCUAUCGGGCGUGCACAACGUCUUUCAUGUAUCGGUCCUUCGGAAGUACAUCCACGACCCGGCUCAUGUGUUGGAUGCUACACCUUUGGAGUUGUGGGACGACUUGAGCUUCGAGGAGCAACCAGUGAGGAUUUUGGCUCGCGAGGUGCGAAAACUGCAGAUCGGGAUAUUCCGUAUGUAAAGGUUCUUUGGAGCAACCACGGGGAGCGGGAGGCCACGUGGGAGCUAGAGAGCGCGCUGCGGGAGCGCUAUCCCCAUUUUUUUCAGAUGGAUUCUUGAGGUAUGUGUUUGCUUUCGAGUUUCGCGGACGAAACUUCUUUUUAGGGGGGGUGAAUGUAGCACAUUGGACCUUUGCAAAUUGCGAGGUUCGAGUGUUUGAUAUGGAUUUCAAACUUUUCCACACUUAGUGGAAGGUCGUAGAUGGUAUUCCGACCUAAAAGUUCGAUCUCUGGAGUUUUGAUUUUGUCCUGAGAGUUUUCACUCUCGGAGACCGGUCCCUGAAAGGAGAGAUCGGUCCCCUCAGAACAGUGUUGCGGCCAGCUUGAGGCAACCGGUCCCUGGCGGAGAGAGACCGGUUCCCGAACGUUGGAUUUUCGGGGCAGGCUGAGAGACCGGUCCCAUGUCGGGGAGACCGAUCCCUUAGUCCGAAAACUGCCCUGUCCGGGCAGUGCACAGUGUUGAUUGUUGAGGGGCUUAUCAGGAUUUUGUUACAUUAGAAGGCCUUUAGAGCCUUUCUCCUCUCUCUUUCUCUCAUUUUCUCCCCUUCAUACCUACCCUAGAGAGAGAAAGAGAAGGAGAAAAAUGAGAAAUAGGAGAAGGAGAGGAGAGGAGCUUGCUUGGAGGCUUUAGAGCAUCAUCUUCUUCCUCAUUUCUCACCUCGGUGGCUUGGAGCUUGCGGUUGAAGCUUUGUGGAGGAUCAAACUCCAACCCUACUUGGUUUAGAGCUUGGAUUGGAGCUUCUCUUGAGGUUGGUAGCUUGUAUUUUCCAUUUAAUACAAGUUUUUAUAGAUUUUACCAUAUGAAACCCUAGAUUUUGGGAUUUAGGGUUUAUUUUGGGGAUUUUUUAUUUGAGAGCUUUGAAACCUAAUUGAUGGGUUUAGAACCUUCAUUUAGGUUGGAUUUGAAGAAUUCUAACUCCCAUUUGGAGCUUGAGAGAGGAUUUCUUCACCUAGGUGAGUUUUCUCCACCUUAGCCUAUGUUGCUUAUUGUUUGAGCUUAGGGUUGAUCGUAAGAUUUGUUUGACCCUUGUUCCUACAUCUUUAGGGUGCUAGGAUUCUAGUCGACACCUUUGUCAGAGCUUACGAAGGGUUUCGGAAUUUUCGGUGCGUUUGACUUCAUGAAAACGGGGCGAAAUGGUCCCUAAGUAUUUUAUACUUGUCGUAACAUCAAUUUGAUUGCAUAUUCAUGUUAAAUGGGACUUAUGUGAAUUUUAGAAUACUUAAAAUGCAUGCCUUAUGUAUCAUAAAAUUUUACUCUAUAUAGUAGGGCCUUCUGGACAUUUUUGCAUGCAUAUAUCCUUAUCUCCAAAAAGUGCGGGGUGAUGUUGAGAGCGGGCGCACCGGUGAUUUCGGCGUAGGGUCUGAUGGUGCACCUUAUAGUGUACAUCCGAGCGGCACUAAAAUAUAUAAAGACUUAAAAGUGCAUUAUUGGUGACCGGGGAUAGAGAAGGAUGUUGGAGAAUUUGUGGCACAGUGUUUGACAUGCCAAUAAGUUAAAGCGAAGCGCCAAUUUUCGGCGGGAAAGCUUCAAAGUUUAUCCAUACCCGUUUGGAAGUGGGAAGAUAUAGCAAUGGACUUUGUGACCGGUUUACGCCGAUCUCAGGCCGGACAUGAUGCUAUUUGGGUGGUAGUGGAUCGUUUGACGAAAUCGGCUCAUUUCUUACCGAUCCAUAACACUUGGUCCGGAGACAAGCUGGCGCAGGUUUAUCUCGAUAGGGUUGUGAGACUGCAUGGGGUUCCGACGUCCAUAGUAUCGGAUCGAGACCCCCGGUUCACAUCCCACUUUUGGAAAAGUUUGCAAGAGGCGUUGGGCACACGGCUCGAUUUUAGCACGGCAUUUCAUCCUCAAAGUGAUGGUCAAUCGGAGAGAACGAUACAAAUCCUUAAGGACAUACUUGGAGAGUGUGUACUUGAUUACAAGGGUGGAUGGCACGAUUAUUUGCCGAUGGCGGAGUUCGCAUUUAAUAUUAACUAUCAAGAAAGUAAUGCGAUGGCGCCAUUAAUUCGAGGCUUUUUAUGGAAGGAAGUGUCGCUCCCCUAUUCAUUGGAGCGAGGUGGGUGAAAGAGUUACCCUUGGUUCGGAUGUGUUGCGGGAGGCAAAAGAGAAAGUUUGCUUUGCCCGCCAACGGCUUGCGACAGCACAAACCUAACAGCAAAGUUAUGCCAAUAAGUGUAAGAAAGUGAAUUCUCGAAAUCUGAGGAUUGUACUUCAUCCAGUAUCGACUAAUUGUCGAGAAAAUACCCUUUGUGGGAGUUAAGAAAGUCCACAACGCAAAAAGUGCUUUGGAGUUGAGUCCACGAGAGCGAAUGAUGCAAACUGCAUCAUGGGGCUGAUGUUGCUCUCGGGAACCGGUCUCUGGAGGUGAGAGACCGGUUCCCUUGGCUGGGUGUUGCGGGGUUGCUUGAUGCAACCGGUCCCUGGCAGAGAGGGACCGGUUCCCGAAUGUUGCCUCAGCGAGAAAUGCCAAAAACUAGCUAAGUCCUGAAAAUCAAGCUCUCGGGGACCGGUCUCUCAGGUAAGGACCGAUCUCCCGAGGACCGGUCUCCCGGGGAGAGACCGGUUCCCGAAUGCGUGCGCCCGAGGGAAGCUCUCGAGGCCGGUCCCAAGUCGGGGGGACCGGUCCCUCCGUGCGAAAACUGCCCAGUAAGGGCUGUGCAACGGAUGGAAAGUUGAGGGGUUUUUAUGCAAAAUGGCCUUUAUUAGAGUGGGCUGAGCCCUCUCUCUCCCUCACACUCUCUCAUUCUCUCUCUUUCUCACACUCUCUCUUGCUCCCUCUCUCUCUCUCUAGAAAAGAAAGAACAAAAGAGAAGGAGAAGAAGAAAGAGAAGAAGAAGAAUGAGGAGAACAAGAUAGAGAAGGCUUGGAGCAUCUUCCUCUCUUUCUCUCUUCUCCAUUGGUGUAGCUCAAGAGGUAAGCUACAAACCCUAGCUUGUAAAACUUGGGUUUUUGGGUUUUUAUGCUUUGGAAUGGGUCAAAUGAACCCUAAGCUAGCUUCUAAAUAGAUCAAUCCCAAGAAUCUGGGGUAAAUAUGGGGUGGUUUGCUAUAGGUGCAAACCUAGGGCUCCAAAUUGGGGCUUUUGUGAAAGUAUGAGAUUGAUCUCAUUUGAAGCCUUGGAAACCCUAUUGGUAGGUCACAAAACGUGGGGGCGAAGUCGGUUUUAGCCUUCGGCGAGCCGGCGUGAAGUUCUCGGCAAAAUAGGGCCGGGAUAGCUUGGAUUUGGGCGAGGAAGGCUAAAGCCUUUUCAUAAAAUUCGCCGAGGAGCGUUUCCGAAGCCUUUACAUCGAUAAAAGGUAGGGGGUGCCAUCCCGAAGCUUUCGGACUCCUUUCUAUGUCUUAGAUUGCAUUUGAUCUCAUCUCUUCAUGUUGCAUUGUAGGAUUGAAUAGUAGCUCCAUUCCUUAUGCUUUCUAAAUGAUAACCUAGUGUACUUGGAACGUUUGGUAACUUAGAUAGGUGAGGAUUGGGUCGGAACGUGGAUCCUAUGAUGCUAAAGAUAGAGAUGAACCCGAUGGGAGUGUUGAUGACAUAGAAAGUAGUGUUAUCGUCAAAGAACAAACGAGUGGCAUCCAAAUGUUAAAUGAUAACGAGUGGCAUUAAUGUAGUGUAUAUGACACUAGAGGUUUGAGAACCUAGGGAUAGGUGGAUCCCUAAGAAAAUGCCUUGUGGACAAGAACUUAGUAAACCUAAGUAGCCUAACAUGGAGAGGUUGUUGAUGAGUCGAUUAAGACAUUGACCCUAGUGAUAGGGCAUCCUCACUUGGAGAGGACCUGAUUGGGUAUGACUCUAGUUGAUAGCAUCCUCACUUGGAGAGGAUUGGAUUUGGUUUUUGACCCUAGUGAUAGUGUAUCCUCACUCGGAGAUGAUAGAUCUAGCUCACAGUCUGCGUUUGGGAUGGUAUAGCCAUCCAAUCCCCACAUGGAGGGGAUGGUCGUCGAGUACUCCGGAGUGUCGCGACUAGGACCACUUGGAGGUCCGGACCACAUGGAGGUCCGCAGACGGUCCCGGGCUUGGGUGCACUUGGAGCUCCCUCCCCACUUUGGGAUUGAAAGGUGAGUUAUGGGCGAGCCCUAGGGCCUCGCCGCAGAUUGGGUAAAUGAAAGGUUAAAGGUUUAAAAAUGUCAUUGAACGUUACUAUUCGAACAUGGAUCGAAUUUGUUAGCAUGGUAGCAAACCUUUAUUAUAUGAUGCAUGCAUUCAUAUUCAUGAUUAUGGGCAUAGUAGCAUAGUUUUUCCUACUAUCGCAUUUACUGCUUUCAGAUACAUAUCUAUCUAUCUAUCUGUUGUUACUUGUGCCCACUUGGACCUAGUGGGGAGAUCGGCAGAGUCGGUGGCCGAGCCCACUGGGAACUAUGGAAGAUAGUUCUCACCCCACUCUAUUUCUAGUAGUAGGUUCAGGGCUGCAGAGAGAGGACCGCGGCAAGGGCACCGCGCCCGACCAGUGAGACCGUGGUAGUUAGUAGCUUUCCUUUUUGCAUUAGUUCACCUAUGUAUUGAGAGAGAUCCAUUGUAGGUGAGGAUUUGGGAGAGCUAUGUAUUUUGGAUGAAAAAUGUAAUCAUUUAAAGAAAAUGAUGUAAAUAAGAAUGAUGAAACUAUUGUAAUAGUUAGUAAGGUACUCUCUUUAUUUCACAUGCUUUAUCUUGUGGAUUACUUGCUCUUUGUCUUGUCGGCACUGUUUGUGCCCUUAUGAAUGUGUAUGUUUAGAAUUUAAUUUCUUGGGUAAAUUCUUGUACACAUUCUUAUUGUUGAGCCUUGGGCGGACAGGGGAGGUGCUGUCCGUUUGGCGGUCCGCCGCCGCUGCCGAAUCGUGCCAAAUUGGUAGUGGUUUCGGGGUGGGGCGUGACAAUAAGUGUCGGAAAGAUCUUGAGUUCGUGGUUGGAGACCGCAUUUUCUUAAAGGUGUCACCCAUGCGUGGUGCGAAGGGGUUUGGGGUCCGGAGGAAGCUUAGUCCCCGAUACAUUGGACCAUAUGAGAUUUUGGAGCACAUGGGUGUGGUGGCGUAUAGAGUUGCCUUACCACCAAAGAUUGCGGGAAUUCACAAUAUGUUUCACGUGUCUCAUCUCCGCAAGUGUGCCCAUAAUUCCUCUCAUGUCUUAGAGUAUGAACCGGUAGAGUUGCGCGAGGAUAUGACCUAUGAGGAGUAUCCGGUGUGCAUUCUUGCUCGAGAGGCGAGGAAAUUACAGAAUCAUACAAUUCCGUAUGUCAAAGUUUAGCGGAGCAAUAAUACGGAGCGUGAAGUCACUUAGGAACUCGAGGAGGCAAUGCGAAAGACCUAUCCUUAUCUAUUCGAGUAGAUGAGCUAAGGUAUGGAAUCGAGUUUCGCGGACGAAACUUUUUUUAAGGGGUGGAGAAUGUAAUAUACCGAAACUUUAGUAGGUUGUACCGAACUUCAACAACUCUGAGAAUGCCAUGUUCACUAAUGCCAUUACACAUAAGUGUUCCAUUCUCAUUCACUAGCAUUCUUUAUGCUCACUAAUACCACAAGGUGCUAUUUUACUCACUUGUCACAAUGUCACCAUGUUCUUUACCACAACUAGGUGCAUAUCUGUAAGGAAGUAAAUUCUCGAAAUGCGAGAGUUUGACUUCAUUUAAAAUCGACCAAGGGUCGUGUUGGCAUGCUUCGGAAAGGACGAAAGCAUCAAAGAGGCAAAAAGUGCGUUAUAGUUGGUCUCGAGAGCAAAUGGUGCAAAUCUGCACAAAUUGCAGAUUUUGCUCUCGGGGACCGGUCCCUGGUGAGAGGGAUCGGUCCCCAUAAGCAGAGAGUGCGGCAGAGAGGCUCUGUGCGCUAAUGUUGCUCUCAGGGACCGGUCUCUGGCGGGAGGGACCGGUCCCCGUAUGCGUGAAGGGCUGACCUGAGAGCUCUGUGCGAGAGGCUGCUCUCGGGGACCGGUCCUCCGGUAGAGGGACCGGUCCCCACACCCGAAAACUGCCCAGUCUGGGCAGCGCAAGAGAAGCAAAAUGGAGGGGGCUAUUAGGAUAUUGUUACAAGUGAGAGGCUAAAAGAGGGAUUUCCUUCUCUUCUCUCUCACUCUCCCUCACACAUACAUACUUUCUCUCUCUAGAAGGAAAAGGAAGAAAAGAAGAAGAGGAAGGAGAAGAAGGAAAGGAAGGAAAAGAAGAAGAGGAGGACCACCAUCAUCUUCUCCAUCUCUUCCCUAGCUUGUAGAGGUAAGCUAUGAACCUCUCUCAUGGUAAAUGGCUUAGGGUUUGCCUUAACCUCUCGGAACUCAAUUAAUUGGACUCUAGUGGACCCCUAGAGGUAGUUGAUCUCCUUGAUUGCAAGAAUAAAUGCUUGAUUGAAGCUAUUGCAAUAUUGGGGAUUCUAGGGCAUCCAAAAGAGGGCUUUUGCUUGUGAGGGGUUUUGAUCUAAAUUGACCUCUCUCUAACCUAAUUGUUAGGUCUACGAACGCGUUCGUGCACUCGGUUUGACUAUUCGUUAAGGCUACGAAGAGAUAUUGGUGAAAAACUCGUUUUUGGCUUCAUUUUCGCCUGGAACGCCGAGGAAGCAUCUAGAAAUCACGAAAUCGGAACCCUAGCCUUUUGGUAGCAUAAGAAGGUGGGGGGUGUCCAUCCCGAAGCAACCGGGUUUCCUUUUAUGUCUAAGUUCUACAUAUUGACAUUAUGCAUUAUAUGAUUAGUAGAUAGUUGCAAUUCUAAUUCCUUGCAUGCUUUCUUAGUAGUGUAGCAUUGUAGGCUUGACACAUGGACUAGGGAUGCAUGAGGAUUGGUCUUGUGACAUGGAAUCCUAUAGUGGCAUAAAGAGAUGAAUUUGGACAUGUAAUAGCCUAGAAGAGUGGCAUUUGGGUUAGUGUAGUAGAAACACUAAACAUGAACGAGUGGCAUGUCAACUAGUAGAAAACCUUUACUACAAUGAUUGAACGAGUGGCAUCAAAUCUAGAGUAGUAAACAUAACAUGAUUCUAGGGAUAGUAGAGUUUCCGAGUAAUGAAUUAUGCAUUAUGAACUGUGCAGCAGAGGCGCACUAUGGCCCUUGUAGAUAGGGUAUCCUCUUGUGAGGAUUGGAUCAUACUCACUAGUCUGUUUUAAACUUGAGGUAGUCGCUCCACUCAAGUAGUGGUCUCCGGAGUACUUCACGACAGUGGCAGAUGUAGUUGUCCCGCAGACGGUCUCGGUAUGCGAGUGCAGAUUCUCCUCACCUAUGAGAUUUGAGAGUGAGUCGAGGGCGUAACCUUCGGGUUAGCCAAGCAGAUUGGACAAAGAACAUGAAUGAUAUAGAAGAUUUGCAUUCAUACUUGAGUAGACAUAGUGUAUGUUGGUAGAUUGCAUAACUGUGUUGCAUAUAUAUUGUACUAGUAUAAUAGUAGAAUUAUUGCAAAAUGGACAUUGCAUGCAUUGCUUAUCAUUGAAGGCAUGGUAGAAUAUAGUUGCAGUUUAUUUCUACCUAUCCAUCUAUCUAUUUAUCUUUGCUUGUUUAGACCUAGUGGAAAAAUCGGCGGAGUCAGCGGUCAAACCCACUGAGAACUAUAUUUAUAUAGUUCUCACCCCACUUUGUUGUAGGGCCGAGUACGAGUUCGCCGGGCGAGGACCGCGGCAAGGGCAUAGCGCCUUAGGUAGUUUGUAGCUUCCUAUCUGCAUUAGAGUACCCUCGUGUACUAGAUGAUGAUGAUAUAUAUUUGGAUAAAUAGUAUGGAGCUACUUACGCAUUUUGGAGGUGAACUUGUAUUACAUUUUGGGAGAUGGAAAUGUAAUUAAAAGAAUUAAUGUUGAAUGGUUGUAAUAGCUAGAAUAUCUCUCUUUAUUCACUUGUUGUACACUUGUGGUUCUUGCUCUUACUUGUUAGCACUUGUAGUGCUCUUGUUGAUCGUGUAUGUAAUGAAUUUCUUUUCUUGGGCAAAUUCUUGUACAUGAUUUCGUUGCUUAGCCUUGGGCGGACAGGGGAGGUGUUGUCCGUUCGGCGUCUGUUCGACGCGCCCGAACCGGACCAAAUUGGUAGCGGUUUCGGGGCGUGACAAUAUCUCAAUUCAUACAUAUAUAGGGUUCACAAGCAUAUAGGUUCAUAAGCAUAAUAUACAUGUCUCAUAACCAACUCAUAUACAUCUUUAUACUCAAAAGCAUGCAAGAUAUAUCACCAUAUUGCCAUUUAGCCAUUUAAACCCCACAAUGCAUGAAUCCUACGUAUACAUACAUGCUCAAAAGGUGACAUUUAGACAUAAAAAGAGAUUCGAUGAUUUCGAAUAGCACCACCCACCUCGUAGGGUCGCUAAGGUGCUAGGAUCCAAAUCUGGUGAUUUAUAAGCGCCUAUUCCCCUCGACCAUGGCAAACAAAGCUGAAAUGGGGUUUUUCCUCGAUUUCCUUGCAUAGACUCGUCGGAACUUCGAUCCGAGUCUCCCAACGCGUCAGCUUACUCGCCAAUUAGGGCUACAAGAGAUCAAACCCUAGUUAGAUCUCAUAUCUACCAAAACCCUAAUUUGACCCCUAGGGUUUCCAACAAUCCACAUAAACCUAUUAAUUCAUGGAGAUUUACACAUGAAUCUACCAUACAAGCUUCUAGAUACCAUAACUAGAAGAAAUUAGCAUAAACCCUAGCUUAAUACAACAAGAACUCACCUUGAGCUCAACUCUUCUCUUCAAAACUUUGCAUAAGAGCUUGCACAAGAGCUUGCUUCUCCCCCAAGCUAGCCUUCUUCUCCACCAAACCCUCUCACACACCCUAGAGAGAGAAAGAGAAAGAGAGAGAGAGGAAACUUAGAGAGAGAAAGAGAAAGCUUUUCUCUUUGUUCACAAAAGAGAAAUGAAGAGGUGGAAGGGUGUAGAACCUUCAAAUAGCAUCUCUCUGCAACAAUUGCAUAUAGGCCCCUCUCCAAUUCAUUGUACAGGACUUACCCACGAAAUUGCGGGUACGGGGUCCGGACCCUACACAGUGUCCAGACCCUAAGAGCAAUUUCAGCUUGUUUCAAGCUGAAAAUUCCCAGCUUGCUCUCCAAGGUCCAAACCACUCACAAUACACUCCGACACGCUCGAAAUGAUCAACGGACCUCUCUAACUUGUCCCACUCCGCACUUCGGUCAAUUUGUCUAAAGUUCAGAACAACCUACCGAAGUUUCGGUAUAUUACAACAUAUGACAACUUUUGGUUGUGCUGUAAAUGUAUAAGUGAUGUAUAAAUGCCAUAUGCUGGAGGAUAUGAAAUGUAUAUCAUGUGAUGUAUAAAUAAAAAAAAGAAUGAAUGUAAAUUCUAUUAUGCUUGUAUAUGGUUAAAAGUAAUCAUGAUACUUGUAUGUAGUAGUUGUAGAACUUUCGCUUUUGAUGUUGUUUGCCCUCGUGCAAGUCAUGUAUAUGUAUGUUUUCGCUGUGUAAAAUUUAUAUACAUGUUGAUAUUGUGUUGAGCCUUGGGCGGACAGGGGAGGUGUUGUCCAUUCGACGUCUGUUGACAUGCACGAACCGACCAAAUAGACGGGCUCGGGGCGUGACAUUGGGUCAUCAGAUGCAGACAGUCACCGUCUCCUGCUGGAUCAUAUUCAACAUCAAGCCAAUGGGUGUCACGAUCUCCAUCUCCUACUGAUGCUGGAGUUAUGUUCGCCGCCCCUUCGACAUUUCCUUUUUUGAUGUUUGACUCGCUUCCGCCACUAAUUUCUCGAGUGUACUUUAGAUCUGUCUAUUCUCAUCGUCAUGGCGCGUCAUCAUCGCAGCCCGGCCCAGCAUCUACACCGGCCAUUGUCGAGGGUGAUUGACCUGAGCCAACGGAGACUCAGGCUGUAAGGAAGUGAAUUCUCGAAAUACGAGAGUUAGACUUCAUUUAAAAUCGACCAAGGGUCGUGUUUGUAUGCUUCAGAAAGGCCGAAAGCGUCAAAGAGGCACAAAGUACAUUAUAGUUGGUCUCGAGAGCAAGUGGUGCAAAUCUGCACAAAUUGCAGAUUUUGCUCUCGGGGACCUGUACCUGGCGGGAGGGACCGGUCCCUGUACGCGUAGAGGUGGGCAGACUGCUGUCUGCCAGAAGUUUUGCUCUCGGGAACCGGUCCCUGGCGGGAGAGACCGGUCCCCUUACGCAUGAAGGGCUGGCCUGAGGGUUCUGUGCGAAAGGCUGCUCUCGGGGACCGAUCCUUCCCUAGAGGGACCGGUCCCCGCACCCGAAAUCUGCCCAGUCUGGGCAGCGCAAAAGAGGCAAAGUGGAGGGGUGUUUUUUGCAAUUAGGCAAUGAGAGGGGUUAAGUGGGCAUUUCCUCUCUCUCUUUCUCUUAUUUCCCUCCAACACACACUCACACACUCUCUCUCUCUCUAGAAGGAAAAGAAGGAGAAGAAGAAGGAGAAGAAGAAGGAGAAGAAGAAGGAGAAGAAGAAGAAGGAAAAGAAGGAGAAGAAGAUCAAGAAGAGGACCACCAUUGUCAUCUUCUUCUUCUUUUGCUUGGGACAAAAGCUUGGUAGAGAUAAGCUUUUGGCUCUCCCAUGGUAGAAUGCUAAGGAUGAGUUUAUAAACCCUAGAAAUGGAAUUUAUUGAGUCUCUAGAAGUAGUUGCUCUCAUUUAUCACAUGAGUAAAUGCUUGUUCAAUGCAUUUUGCAACUAUGUGGAUUCUAGGGCAUCCAAAAGAGGGUUUUUGCUUGUGAGGGAUUUUGAUCUAAAUUGACCUCUCUCUAACCUAAUUGUUAGGUCUACGAACGCGUUCAUGCGCUCGGUUUGACGAUCCGUCGAGGCUACGAAGAGAUAUUGGUGAAAAACCCAUUUUUGGCUUCGUUUUCGCAUGGAACUUCGAGGAAGCUUCCAAAAAUCAUGAAAUCGGAACCCUAGCCUUUUGGUAGCAUAAGAAGGUGGGGGGUGUCCAUCCCGAAGCAAUCGGAUUCCCUUUUAUGUCUAAGUUCCAUAUGUUGAUCAUAUUCAUAUAUUGAUAUUAUGCAUUAUAGGAUUAAGAGAUAGUUGCAAUUCUAAUUCCUUGCAUGCUUUCUUAGUAGUGUAGCAUUGUAGACUUGACACAUGGACUAGGGAUGCAUGAGGAUUGGGUCUUGUGAUAUGGAAUCCUAUAGUGGCAUAAAGAAAUGAACUUGGACAUGUAAUAGUCUAGCAGAGUGGCAUUUGGAUUAGUGUAAUAGAAACACUAAACAUGAAUGAGUGGCAUGUCAACUAGUAGAAAACAUUUACUACGAUGAUUGAACAAGUGGCAUCAAAUCUAGAGUAGUAAACAUGACACGAUUCUAGGGAUAGUGGAGUUCCCGAGUAAUGAAUUGUGCAUUAUGAACUAUGCAGCAGAGGCACUGUGACCUUUGUAGAUAGGGUAUCCUCUUGUGAGGAUUGGAUCAUACUCACUGGUCUAUUUACACUUGGUGUGGUCAUUCCGCUCAAGUAGUGGUCUCCGAAGUACUUCACGAUAGGGGCAGACAUAGUUGUCCCGCAGACGGUCUCGGUGUGCGAGUGCAGAUUCUCCUCACCUAUUAGAUUUGAGAGUGAGACGAGGGCGUAACCUUCGGGUUAGCCAAGCAGACUGGGCAAAGAACAUGAAUGGCAUAGUAGAUUUGCAUUCAUACUUGAGUGGAUAUAUUGUAUGUUAGUAGAUUGCAUAACUAUGUUGCAUAUAUACUCAUAACAUUAUACUUGCAUGAUAGUAAAAUUAUUGCAAAAUGGACAUUGCAUGCAUUGCUUAUUAUUGAAGGCAUGGUAGAAUAUAGUUACAGUUUAUUUCUACCUAUCUAUCUAUCUAUCUAUCUGUGCCUGCUUAGACGUAGUGGAAAAAUCGGCGGAGUCGGCGGCCGAACCCACUGGGAACUAUAUUUAUAUAGUUCUCACCCCACUUUGUUGCAGGGCCGAGUAUGAGUUCGCUGGGCAAGGACCGCGGCAAAGGCAUAGCGCCCUAGGUAGUUAGUAGCUUCCUAUAUGUAUUUAGAGUACCCUCGUGUACUAGACGAUGAUGAUGUAUAUUUGGAUAGAUGAUAGAGAGCUAUUUAUAUAUUUUGGAGGUGAACUUGUAUUACAUUUUGGGAGAUGAAAAUAUAAUUAAAAGAAUUAAUGUUGAAUGGUUGUAAUAGCUAGAAUAUCUCUCUUUAUUCACUUGUUGUACACUGGUGGUUCUUGUUCUUACUUGUUAGCACUUGUGGUGCUCUUGUUGAUCGUGUAUGUAAUGAAUUUUUAUUUUCUGGGCAAAUUCUUGUACAUGAUCUUGUUGCUUAGCCUUGGGCGGACAUGGGAGGUGCUGUCCGUUCGGCGUCUGUUCGACGCGCCCGAACCGGACAAAAUUGGUAGCGGUCUCAGGGCAUGACACAGGCAAUUUUGGAGCAUCCUGAGGGCAUCAUCAUCGCGGAUCUCAAUCGGAUGGCCGGUAUCGAGCCACUUGAUGAUGUAUCUCCUACUAAGCUUGAUGUUGAUCAUGGCCGUAGCGUAGAUGUGGGCAUGCAUGAGGACGUGACCGAGAAUGUCGAGGGAGAGGAAGAUUGAGAGACCGUCUUUUUUUUUUUAUUUAAAUCGAACACAUUGUAUAAUAUUAUAUACCUAUUUAUUUAGUUCAUAUUUGUAUGUCUUUUUAUGUUUUUAUUGAUAUUCACCGCCUUUAGUGCAAAACUCAGAACCCCACAAAAAUUUGACUUAGUCCUGGCUGAAACAUAAAUAAGACGGUGAAUUUGAUUCACCGUCUUUAUAAGACGGUGAAUGAUUCACUGUUUUAUCUGUGUUUCAACACCAACUACAGGACUUAGAAAAAUUUUUAGUAAUUUUGGCGGGAUUCGCAGGUUUUGCACUAAAGGCGGUGAAUCGUUCGCUGCCUUAUAAAGACCGUGAACGAUUCGCCAUCUUAUCAAGGGCACAACAAUAGUUGAAAGACGGACUUGAAAGGCAGAUUUGCGUUGAGGCGUGGGAUUUGCAAGGCGAAUUUGCGUUGAGGCGUGAGAUUUGCACUAAAGACGGUGAAUGGUUCACCGCCGUCACAAGGAAUAUUAUGAAGACGGUGAACCAUUCACCGCCUUCAUAGGAAACUACUGACGUGACGCCCACGUAGCGAAAGUAGGGUUAAUUUUUCAAAUAAAAUUUUGACAGGUCAUUUUGCAAAUUUUAAAUUUUUGGAGGGCCAUUUUAUAAAAAAGUCCUCAAAUUCCGCUCGCUUCGUCUUCUCUCCGCUGUUUUUUGCGCGCAAGGCGAGAGCGGGGCUAUGGCGGAUAGGCGGCGCGAAAAACAGAAGCAUCGUGACCGAGAUCGAGAGCGGGAGCGGGACCGAGAUCGAGAGCGGGAGCGCGACCGAGACCGAGAUCGAGACCGGGAACGCAACAGGGACCGCGACCGAGAUCGAGAGCGCGAGAGAGACCGGAAGCGGUCCCGCUCCCCGUCCCGCUCCCCCUCCGGCUCGGGCUCCCGCUCCCGCUCCCGCUCCGCCGACCGCUCUAGCCGCCGCCACGGUCAUAACCACCACCAACACCACCACCAAAAUCGCCGGCGCUCCCCCUCCCCCGAGUCCCACCGCCGCAAGCGCCGCCGCGAGGGCAGCAAUGACCUCCCCCCCGCUGCCUCGGCCGAGCUUGCAGACGGCGUUCCCAAGAACCAUAAGAAGCAAGGAGGUGGCAGCGGCGGCCCGGCGGACGGCGAGGCUGCAGCUGUCCCAACGGACGCCAACACAGAGGAACUGGAGAUGAUGAAGCAGUUUGGGAUUCCGUUAGGGUUCGAUUCCACCAAGGGGAAGCCCGUGCCAGGGGCCGAUGUUAGCGGCGUGAGGGUGGUGACAAAGCGGCAGCCGAGACAAUAUAUGAAUCGCAGAGGAGGCUUUAAUCGGCCCCUUCCUCCGGAACGCAACCGUUAGCACCCUGUCUCAGUUCCAAAGGUUAGGGUUUUCAUGAUUCCCUAUGUUCGACUUCUUUUUUCCUUUUUCUUUUUUGUUUUCUUUUCCUUUUUCCUUGUUAUAUAUCCUUUGUAGUAGUUUUGCCCAUUUUCAUAAACUUCCAAAAUUAAUGCCUCUUGAUAUCUAAUUUUCACACCUUGAUGAGGAUGAAUCCGAGGGUGGCAUAAGAUUCUAGCUUUUGUAGAUAGGGGUGAAAAUGGAUCAGAUACAGUCGGAUAUUAGACGAAACCAUAUUUGCAUCUAUGUUUUCUUUCGAAUAUGAAUUUGGAUGUGGAUAAUAAUUGGAUGCUAAAUUUUUGUUACCAUAUCCGUUAAGAACGGAUUCGGAUAUGAUUAGAUAUUUCUUCGGAUUUGAAUAUGGAUCGAAUUUGUAUUCAUAUAUUAUUUGGAUAAUAAUACAUACUUACAUUUUUGUGAUGGCUCCUUUUAAUUUCAAAAUACCAGUCUAUAAUUUUGUAGUAUCUUCAACAAAUUUAGGGUCAAAUCGAGCUGGAAAGACUAUCCAUAAAGAGGCAAACUUUGUGCUUAACUUUCUAGAUUUGGAAGUUGCUUAGAUUGAAUUUGGUUCUUCUUAGCAAGCGUAAGUUUGUUGCCCAACAAAAGAAGUUGUCGGCUGUGUAGAUUGUCUUCCAUAUUCUUUAUGUUGACACUUGCAAAAAGUUAUGGAAGAUAAAUAUUUUUCUUUUGAUUAGCUUGACUUGUAAUGAAUUAGGGGCAUCUUUGGUUGAUGAUUGGAAUGAGAAUAAGAAAUGAAAUUGGAUUUCAUUGGAAUGAGAAAUAGAAUGCGGAAUCAUCCAAACAUGGUUGGUAUAUUAUUGGAAUGAAAAUCGGGAUGGACAAUUGGACACCUAAGAUUUGAGAGAGGCUUUUGAUUACGGGAGAGGAGAAUGUUUCUUUUUUUACUAUUUAAGCUGCAAAAGAGUGAAAUCAACGAAUAAGCAUAUUAAAUUUAUGCCGCAACAUAAGAAAAUAAAUCAUAGUUCAAGUUUAGCGGCUUAUGCAUUCGAGACCAAACAAACACACUCUAAUUCACUCUAAUUUCAUUCACAACAAGAUGCAUUACAAGAGAAAAUAAGAGUUCGAUCAAAAAAUUGUUGCAAGUUUGGCGUAAAAGAUCCAUACGAUCUCCACCACUCAGCUAUUGAUAUAGAAUAGAGUGAGUCAAUAGUUAAAUUUUGCUUUCAAUAAUUGAGUCCUGCUAUGGUGCUUUUAAAAUCACCAAACACUUGGUAUUUGUAAGUUUUCUGCCGUUAGAUCUACCCAUUUGACCAUUUUCACCCGUUAGAUUUUACUAUUUAACCACCCACCCACUCAACCCUAGGGGAUCACUAUCAUCCUAAUCGCACAUCACUUAAUCCAAGGGCCGAAAACCUACAAGCACCAAUGACUUGGUACUUUUAAGAGCAUAGAAUCUCAAUUCUCUAUAAUUGUAUCACAAUUUAGAAAUUUAGAAUUAAGAAAACUAAUAGUAUACAAGUAAUAGUAUAUGUGGUGACUUUGUAUUUCUAUGUCGGAUUGCUUAGUCAUGUCCAAAAAGGUCGCAUGCUCUACAACACGCUUAGUUGGUCUUUUAUUUUAUCUUAUUUCUCAAUUCUUGGAACCAAUCACUAUAGAGUCUUGUAUAGCCCCGACAUAACUUUGUCAUCUUGCUCGAUACUUGGAUUCGAGCAAAAAUAUGUGAGAUUCAAAUAAAAACCAGCAGCAUGCAUUGGGUGGAGUUGACAUUCCCACCUAUCAGCUAUGUUGAAAAUUUCAAUAUCUUUUUCUUCCUUCUCAUUGGAUGAUCUUGCAAUGGCUUCCUUUGCUUUAUCCAUGACCUUUUAGAUGUAUUUCAUUGAAGAUCGCUUCUCGCAAUCAGCUAAUUGUAAAACACGAACAAGUGGACCAAACACUUUAGAGUAUAUAUUAUAUUAGUCCAAAAUGUGCGGAUCAUUACUAUGCUAGUAAUUCUUGUCCGAUUGUUGCUUCGCUUAUUUACUCUUGGUCCAAUCUUCAGAUGUAAACAUCUUCCUCAAGUUAUCUUUUUGAUGGUGUGAUCGUUGAAGGUUGAGAAAAGAAGUGGCAAAUGUUGUUAUGCCGACCUAAGCAACUCCUUUUGGCCCGUGAAAUGUCUCAUCAUAUUCACCACACUUGUGUUGUUAUGAAUAUAGAGCUAUUCAAAGUCAUUGCUCUUUGUAUGGUUCUAUGCGCUACUGGCAUCUUUCCGAUAUCCUCAGGCAUUAAACCAAUGCAAUGGGCAACACAUGAAGUCCAACACAAAUUUGGUCUCUUGACUUCUAACAAUUUCCUUAAGGAAAAUUGGAAUAAAGAGAGAUUAUAGCUAUUAGUUAUAUGACUAUUAGGCAUAAUAUCUAAUAUACUCUCAAAACUUCAAAAAUAUCUAAUAUACCCUUGGUUGACCAAAAUGCCCUUAUUGAUUUCCAAAAAUCCCUUCAAAUGUCCACAAACUCUGAGGGUUACUAAUGGAAAUUGGGUUUAGAAGGGUAUUUUGGUAAUUUCAAGAUAAAUUUGAAAAUUUUGAAUAGUAAGGGGUAAAUAAGCAAAAGCCCCUAAAUAUGAAAUACGAAGCAUAAAAAAUUAGUAGUUAAAAACUGUGGGAGAUCGAAAUCUUACCAAUUGCUACAUUAGCUGAUUCGAUCAGUAAUAACUUGCACAAUAAUUGCUUCCCCAACGGGCUCUUUCAUUGUACAAUAAUUCAAACAUUCUUUCCCUAUUUUAAUGUAAUUAGGAGCAUCAAAAGAUCCAAGAAAUAUUGUGCCUAUUGGAGAGUUCACUAGAAUAUUUAUCAAGGGUCUUUCUCUUCUAUCCUUCCACGCAUCUGACAUUAAAGAGCAACCAGUUCUCGCCCAUUCCGCCUCAUAAGACUUCAAAAUAUUUCUUGUCCUCUUAACCUCCUUCAAAAAUAAAAAUUCGUAACUUACAUGCGAACGGUGGUUUUAUGGCGCAACCAUAUUGCCCAAUGGACUCAAUUGCUACUCGAAGACUAUCAUAAUUAAUGGCAUUACAAGGUAUCUCGGCAUCAUAAAUCUAUCGGGCAAAGUCUCUAGAAGCUUUCUCUAUCAACUCCUUUUUACACGCAUUAUUUAUUGUGGCUUGCUUCAGCUUCCCAUCCUUUCUUUCUUGAACCAUCUUCUCCUCAUUACAAGUGAAAUACCGAAAUGGCACAAAUGGUUAACCUUGGCUAAGUGGUGGUAUAAUACUAACCACCACACCUCCCUAGGGAUGACCCUAUUUCAGGCUUCGUAUGGGUACCCUCUGCCCACAUACGCAGUAACCAAUCUAAGCAUACAUAUGGCCUUUGGUGGAGGAAUGGAGUCGGGAAAGGGACAAGGUGAUAAAAAUCCUAAGGGAAAGGCUUAGCACAGAACAUGAUGAAACAAAAUGCUGAUAGGAGGGUGGACAAGGAGUACUAGGAGGGCGAAAUGGUUUACCUGGAGCUUCAGCCCUACCAAUAGAGCAGUGUCGCACUGCGGCGUAAUGUCAAACUUACCUCGAAGAACUACGGGCCCUUUAGAAUCUUGGCACGAAUAGGUCCGGUAGCUUACAGGCUGCAGCUUCCUGAAGGAUCAAAGAUCCAUCCCGUGUUCCACAUUUCACUAAAGCGGAGGAUCCCGUCCUCCUCCCAGAUGUCACCUACUGUACCGCUAAUAGGCAACGAGGGCUAGCUUUUAGCAUGACCAGAGAAGAUACUGGAUCGUCGGAUAGUGCGGAGGGGGAACAUGGAGACAACUCAGGCUCUCAUCAAGUGUAGCAACCUGGACGAGGCGGAGGCCACAUGGGAGGACUACUGGAGCAUCAAGGCUGUUCCCCGAUUUCGACCCUUGAGGACAAGGGUCGUCUUAAGGGGGAGGGAGCUGUAACACCCCGAUGUGAUCAAGACAGGCAGAGCGACCAGAGAGGUGAAGGAGGAAGAAGAGCGACCAGAGAUGGGGAAGAAAAGGGCAAAAUCCAACAUAAUCUAGCAUCAACCAAGGGCCAGUGGAGUAAAUAAAUAUCAGCUUAACGGGUUGGGCAAUAUAUAGGAGUGGAGUGGACACCAUGCGGGUUGGAUCCAUCUGCCAGAAGAAAACAAGUGUGGUAUGGGGGCGAUUGGUGAAGUUCCUAUAUUGCUUCGGAGGCUCUGGAAUGGUUAGAAGUGAGUUUUGGGAGUGUUCAAGUGUUUUCGGCGCAAAUUGGGCGCGAAAAUGGACUUCGAGGUGUUUAGUCUGCUGGAACUGCAGGUUUUGUGUUGAGUACCGGAAUUAGGAUGAGUUCCGGUACGCAAUACAAGUGCAGAAAAACCAGCUCUCGGGUUUUGCGGAAUUGAGCCUGGGGUACCGGUACUAGAGGCCAUGUACUGGUACUAGAGGCUGCAUGCCGGAACCCAAUAGAUGACCUAAAAAUCCAAUGUUCAGGUUCAAGAACCAAGUUGUGGGUACUGGUAUUGGGGGGCUCGUGUUCCGGUAUGCCAGUUCGAGUAUCGGUACUUAGCUCUGCGAAGUGCAAAAUCUGAACUGUUGCAAAUGUUAAAGGAUGGAGGGCUUGUUUGCAAUUAUGAGAACCUAUAAAUAGGCCCCAAUGCAUUCUCACCCUUUUGCAUGAGAAACCCUUUUCAUUUUCUCAUUUUCCCUCAACUUUUCUCUUUCUCUCUCUAGAAUCUCUCCAACAAAAGCACAUUGGAGGAGAUUUAAGGCGUUUGGAGCUUUUAGGGAGAGGAAGCUCAAGAACAAGUGGGAGCUUGAGGUGCAAAAGUGGUCAAGGUGAGUCUUUGUGAAAAUAUGAGUUAGGGUUUGAAUUAGCUCUCUUAUAAAUGGUAUUUUUGGAGUCCUUAAGAGAUGUUAAACUAGAUUAAUCCAUGAAUCCCCAAGAAAAUUGGGUGUUUGUUGAGGGUGUAAACCCUAGGGCCAAAAUUAGGGUUUUAUGGAAAAUGAGGUCUAUGGUGAAAUUGAUCUCUUACUUUCUUAAUUGAAGGGUAAAUUGACGCGUUGAGCAACUUAGAUUGGAGUUUCUACGAGCCUACAGUGUUCUAUUGGGAAAAUUUGCCAUUUUGCUUUCGUUAGUGUUGGGUCAAGCUAAAUCGGCGACGAUAAAUUGCGGGACUUGGGUUCUCGCAUCUUGGCAUCGACUCGAGGUGGGUGGUGCGAUCCGAAAUGGUUGAAUUUCUCUUUAUGUUUAAGUCACCAUAUUGAUCAUGUAUGUGCAUGUGUAGAGAUCAUGCAUAGUAGGGUUAUAUGGUAUUAUGUUGUGAAUUUCUUGCAUGUUCCUAAAGUAAAGUUAAUAACUUGAAUCGAGAAUUGAACAUUGGAUACGUGAGAACCCUAUAGAUGCAUGAACCAAAAUGUGAACCUAGACGAUAUAGUACACUGGUGACAUUUAUAACUAAAUGAGUUAUUUAGCACCUUGUAGCAUUGAAUGCUAGGGAAUGGUACAUCCCGAGUAGUAUGACCUUAGUUAGCAUGAUAUCCUCAAAGUUAGAGGAUUGGAUCAUCCUCACAUAUAGUCUCAUUAGCUUGAUGGUGGUCGUGCCACCUCAAGCAGUGAGCUUCGGAGUUGUCACAUCUAGGCGAUAGCGGAAUUCUCCCCAGCAGACGGUCUUAGCGGGUUGUAGCGGAAUUCUCCCCGACUAAAGGGAUUUGGUUUGGUGAGUUGGGCUUAACCUAUGGGUUGGCCGAGAUGAUUGGGUUAUGGCAUAGACAUGACAUGCAUCAUGAGCAUAGUAGGUUGUUUAUUUACAAUUUCAUGUUACAGGCAUAGUAAAUGCAUUAGUUAUGAAUUAUAUUUCCUUUCCUUACUACUUAUGCCCGAUUAGACCUAGUGGGAAAGUCGGCGGGGUCGGCGGCCGAAUCUACUGGGAACUUCUUUUAGUUCUCACCCUACUGUUUUGCAGAUCCUAGCACUAGCGGAGCGGUCGAGGAUCGUGGCAAGGGCAUAGUGCCCUAGGUAGAGGACCUCCAUGCUUUAGUUCUACCCUAUGUUGCUACCUUGUAAAUGAUGAGAGAACUUGUAGAGGUCAUAUUUUGAGAGAUGAAAAAUGUAUGUAAUGACAAUUGGAGAAAGUUGUAUUUUGGUUAAUGUAAUUAAAGGUUGGUUGUUUGGUUGUAAUGGCUAGUUAUUAUUCUCACUCGCUUUUGUAUUUUUGCCCUCGUGCAAAUCAUGUAUAUUGUUGUUUUGCCGGGCAAACUCUUUAUACAUGUUGUUUGUUGAGCCUUGGGCGGACAGGGAAGGCUCUGUCCGUUCGGCGGUCUGUGCGCGCGCCUGAACUGACCAAAUGGGUGGUCCCGAGGCGUGACAUCGUCAUCAGCGAGUUGCGACGGGUCUGGGAUAUUACAAAAAGCUGUAAGGAAUCAAUUGCACUAUGAUACUAUGGUAACCACGGAUUGAAGUGCCGGCCCGAGCCCUUCGCUUCCACCACAGGCAUCCACUUUUUUCCACAUUGUUUUUCCCAAAUUUGUUGCACUGUGAAGCUUUCAGCGAAUCAAGGGAAUAAUAUCGAACUUGAUAACCAAAUUUCAAGGCAUAUCUAGCAUAAAAUUCUAUUUUUUGAAUUAGAAGGUUGAAAAUAUUGAUAAAAUUAACUAAAUUAAAUCAAUUGAUACUUAAAUUUAUUUAAUUUAUUUGUCAUAUAAUUUAUUGCUAAAUUUUAUGGGUAGAUCUAACAAAUUUUUAUGAUCCACUGCAAUGAUCUAUAUAGAAUUAAGUAGUCAUCUUUCUGUAAAGAUGUAAAUUUAUAUAAUUAUUGUACUUGUGAAUUUUAUUAUUAUAUUUUAAUUUCUAUUCUCUAUANUCUGUAAAGAUGUAAAUUUAUAUAAUUAUUGUACUUGUGAAUUUUAUUAUUAUAUUUUAAUUUCUAUUCUCUAUAAGGUAUAGUUGUACUAUACAUAUAAAAAAGCUUAUCAUUAUGUUAAUUGGUGAGUGUAGUAAGUUAUAUAUAACCAAUAUUCGUAAUUAUUUGACUAAACCUUUCAAAAUAAUAUUAUAAGAGCUUAUUGGGACAAAAGAAAUUAAAAUAAGUCCAUGCCAAAGCGUACCAUUAGGAGGUCGUGCGUAUUCAUCGGCACGCAAGCGUGCCACGUGUUGGCACAGAAGCGUACUUGUUUUGUACCGUACUAGGCAAACAAUGGCAUGCCCCUGUGCCACGACACUUUAAUCCUUGACGAUAACCAUAAGCAAGGAGAAUUCAUCAUAAUACAACAAUGAUAAUAACGAAGUAUAUACUUAUGCAUUUAUGCCUCUUAAGUACUCCAACUAUUCAAUGGUAUCCAAUCUAACCAUCUGUUGGUCGCAGGGAUCCGACCUAAGCUUGCCAACAAAGCAUUGCCGAGAAUUCACUGCCACGGUUACCUCGUUGUGUACAAGGCCGCGUUGGCCAUCACCGCUUCUUGCCACGCAAGCGUGUGAUUGUCAUGUUCGCUAUAUAACGACUACCCACUUUGGAGGGACUUUGGGAACACGACCACCAAAAGUGUCUAUCUCAAUACCAUUGUGCCGCAAGCUAUAGUCAUAUACAAUGCUUAGGGUUAGUGGCAGAUCCAAUAAAUAUAUCAAUCUCGACGCCCUCUAUAGGCAAAUAUGUCAAUCACAAAAGGGUAUGCAUCAAUGCCCCUACAAGGUGAUAUCAAAUCAUGAUGCCCCUACAAGGCAAGGUCUGCUACUACACGAUACAUAUCCACAUACGAAGAUCCCAACUAGCAUGCCCCUAAUGUCAAUCAUAAGUGCCUCUACAACGCGAGUUGAAAUCUUGAGUUCUUCAAUGAUGGUUUCCUCUAUAAGGCUGAGUUCUAAUCUUGUAUGUCAAGUACCUCUACCAGGCGAUCAAGUAUAAUAUAAAAAUCAUGAACUGUAGAUAUCACUAGGUGUAAUGUCAACGCUAGUCAUGCUAGUUAACAACUGAAUUCAACAUCUAUCCUAUCCUCAUGCAAGCAUAUAUUAAGGGCAUCACGACCAUAUCAAGGGUGAAGAAAAGAGAAGGAUAGAAACAGUGGAACUAAAUGGUGGAGCAGGACCAUUCUGGACUGAGUACCUAGCUUGAACCAUAACUAGACGUCUACCACGCAUCUUUGGCUCAACCUUCACUUGGUCCUAAGGAGAAAUACAAAAACAUCAUAAACUCCUCUAGGGUUCCAGAACUCAACAUACUACUAGAUAUAUCCAACCAAGAGGCCUCAAGGCUUCAAAGCUUGAACUCUAGCUCAGACACACUAAAUACACAUUUGCCACACAUGUCUUGGGGUUUCCCAAUAUAAUCAAAACUCCACCAAUUUGGGGAUUCUCCAUCUUUUCUUAAGAAAAUUUUAGAUUUUUCCACAUGAUGCUAACACUACGUCUUCAACACAAAGGAACCCCAAAUCAACUCCGAAAUUCUCACAACAUGAAAUCAACAAGGUCGAUCCCAAGAAUUUAGGAGUUCAAGAGCAACUCACCUAGAUUCACAAGCUUUUCCCUUUCCUCCAAGAAAACCUCGCCUGUGUUGAGGUCGUCUUUUACUUCUCUCGAAGCUCCUACUCUCACCUACGCGUACUGAGGAGCAAGAAUUUGGCCUCCGUUUCCUUCAAAGCUAGAAGGAGAGGGAGCAAUGGAGUAGAGCGUGAGAGGGGGUUGGAGAGGGAAGAGAGCAAGAGAGCGAAGAGGAGAGGAGAUUACGGCUUCUUCUCUUAUGAGAUUUAUAUAAAGAGUGGUUGUAACAAUUGCAACUUAACCCAAGAGUUGCAACAUUUUGCAUGAAAGAGCCCUUUCCUAUACAUAGCUUCCCGCAGAGGAGAAUCCGCACUUGCCCCAGGAAAUUCGGAUCUCGAAGGUUCUCUAGACUAUUUUGCAGCCGAAGUUUGAAUCCCUCAAGGUCUAGACUUUGACGCCUCAAGGUCAGGACUUUCCAUCCAAAGUUCGGAUACUGAAUGUUUUCUUGCACGAAAACUGCUCAUGGUCCAGACUUCCUCUGCAAGGUUCAGAUUCUUAAGUUUUAGAAACAUAAAGGUUUGGACUUCCCAAUCAACGUUCAGAGUCGGACUCUGAAGUUUCAAUUUUCAGAAACUUCGUUUUUGAUCCUUUUUCAUCCAAACUUCGCCUUAGGCUACACAUCUAAAUUGUGUUUGCGUGGGUUUCAUCUGUACUUUAUCCUAUUUGAAAAAGUUUAGUAUAUUACACUGAAGUUCAGUAUAUAACAUAAAUUCUUGUAGUUAUUCCAAUUGAUGUUGUUGGCGCUUCUAAUCCAACCUAUAUAAGAGUUUUCAACCCAUCAUUCCAAUUAAAAACCAUCAAAUUGUAAAAUCUCAAUUUAAACCCUAAUUUUUCAUAUACUACCAAAAUCCCAAGGAUACCUAAAAAUCUCUAAAUUAGAGGCUCAAAUCAAGUGGACUUAUCUCUAAAACGAGAUUAAUCCACGUUCUAGAUGACGAGAUUGAAGAUUGGAAGCUCCAAGCUACUCUUCUUCAUAAUCCUAACUUCAUCUCCAAGUUGCGAGGGGUUGAAGCUCGUAGAAGAAAGAAAUAGGGAAGAAGAAGAUUAAUCAAAAAAAUGUGAGAAGUAAGGAAGAAGAAGAUAGAGAUGGUGGAGGAGGUAUUUUGCAAAAAUUUUCUUGUGAAGGAGAGAAUAAGGAAAAAGAGAGGUUGGGGUGUUACACCUCAAUCGGAGGCGCACUCGCAAGGAUGGAGAAAUCCUGAGCGGAAUGUCGUCGAUGACGAUCAGUGCCGCGGCCGCCUCCUGAGGUGCAACCGAUUAGGGAAUCCCCAACUGGAUGGCACCGAUGAUGAUGAGCCCUGAUCCGAGGCUCCCAGGGUGGGGCAUUCGUCGUGCCUUCUCGAUUUGACAAUGGUGAUUUCCCCACUACGGAGAUCGCCGGAGUGGCGGGGAAUUGCCAAUCAGGGGUAGCAAGAAAAGAAAGGAAGAGAAGGGAAGAGAGAGAACGAGAGUGAGGGAAGGGUGAGUGAGAGAGAGAGAGAGAUAGAAUGAGAGAAAGUGAAGAGAAAUUUUCAUUUUCAACUAACUCUGAAUUAGUUACACAGUUCCUAUUUAUAGGCCCACUGGGCCCAAGAGUAAAUGUAAAGUAAACUCAAAAGAAUGGGUUGGACUCCGGUGCCUCUUGGGGUUCUGAUCGCCUGGGCCUGGGCCACUGGAAGGCGUAGCGGCGGAAUCGGUAGAUGAACCCGCUCCAUCUCCUGGCCUCUUACCCACUCCGAGGUUCCGACCCUGGGUAACCCUAGAAUCGCCUCCUGUUCUCUCUUCCUUACUAGUUUCCUACUUGAAUUAGCGCCUUAAUUCCUCAUUAUUCCUUGCAGUUGUAACAACCCUACCCCCUUAAGCCGAGCCUUGUCCUCAAGGGUCGAAGUUUGGGAAUUGCUUCUUGAGGACCUUAUAGUCUUUCCAAGUUGCUUGCUCCACUGGGGUAUCCCGCCACCGAACCAAUACCUCUGUUGCCGCGCUUUUGUUUCUGCGGACCACGCGCUGAUCUAAGAUCUCCCCAGGCUCCAUCACUAUAUGUCCCUUCUCUGCCACUGGAGGUAAUUCCGGCGAAACGGGGGUUGAAGGAGCGAGGCCAGGCUUCAGUAACGAUACAUGGAACACGGGGUGAAUCUUUGCCCCUUCAGGUAACUUCAAUCUAUAAGCCACUGCUCCUAUCUGGGCCUCGAUCUCAAAUGGCCCGUAGUACUUGGCCGUGAGCUUGGAGUUCCUCCUGCGAGCAACCGUUACUUGUCGGUAUGGCUGCAGCUUAAGGUAGACCCAGUCCCCCACCUUCUAUUCUUUCUCCCGGCGAUGUCUGUCCGCCAGUUGUUUCAUGCGGUUUUGGGCCAUUAGUGUCACGCCCCAAUCCCCGCCUAUUUGGUCGGGUUCGGGUCAUGUCAACAGAUGCCAAACGGACAGCAUCUCCCCUGUCCGCCCAAGGCUCUAACAAUAAGUAUAAUUAAGCAAUCAACCAAAGUAAUUUGCAAUUAUACAAGGCUUGCGCGAGGGCAAGCAACAACGAAAGCGAAUGCUCUAAGCUAAACAUACAACCACACACAAUAUUUGAUUACAUUUAAACCAAAUACUUGUAACUAAAACUAUUACAUCUUUUUCCAUUCAAUCAUAAUUCUUUAUAUUUUUGUCAUUCUCCAAAAUACAUGAUAUGUUUUCAACUUUACAAUUCUAAAUCAACAAAAUAAGUUGAUACAUGUAGGCAAAAGGAAUGACUAAUGCAUAAGUCCCGGUGACCACUAGUUAUGGCGCAAUACCCUUGCCACGGUCCUCCGCCGCCCCGCUCGUGCUCGGACCUGUAGGGUUAGUAGUGUGAGAACUACAACGAAGUUUCCAGUGGGUUCGGCAACCGACCUCGUCGACUUACCCAAUAGGUCUAUUCAGGGUUAAGUAUUUUAAAGAAAUGGAAUAGGUAACCAUGCUAAUGCUAAUACUAUGCCUGUAAGAAAGAUGUUAGUGGAUAUAUAAUCAAAUAUAGAAUGCUCAUGCAUGCAUGCUUAAUCCAUAACUUUACUUUGGCUUUUACCCAAUCUUGCCGGUUAACCUUGUUAACCUCAAUAACUCACAACCCAAAAUCUCUUAAUAACGGGGGACUCGAACCACCCUAGGGACUGUCCUUUGGGGGGACUUCACCACGCCCAGUGGUGACCAACUCCGGAGCGCACCGCUCGAGGGGGAGCUACCUCCCUCAAGCCAAGACUUAUCGUGAGUAUCGAUCCAAUCCUCAACUUGAGGAUAUAUAGCCACUAGUCACAAUGCCAUUGUCAUAAUAGGUUUCUACCUAUUUGUUCAUGCUACUUUUCAAGUCAUACGUGUUACAAUGUCACUAUGGUUAAACUAUGUUUAACAACCAAUUCCUCAAUGCCAAUCAUAUCUCUAUUGUCAAUGUCACCUUUGUUUACUAUUGUUCAAGUCCAAGUCUCACAUUCAUACAACUUUAGGGUUUUACCAUACAUGUCCAUUAUGGUUCUAUCAUUCUCUAUGUUCAACUACGUUAGAAGCAUGUAAAUGAAAUCAAAUCAAGGUUCACAUGUAAUUUAACCCUACUAUGCAUGAAUGACUAUACAUCAAUAUACUCAAUAAAAGGUGAAAUAAACAUAAAGGGGAAUCCGAUGAUUCCGACGUGCACCCCCCACCUUGAAUAUUGUAGAAGGGUUGUAGUUCGACUUUCGUGAUUUUAGGACGCCUCUUCCGCGACCUAAACCCAAAAAUAAAGCCAAAUUAGGCCCUAUAUACAAGAUCUCAUAUCUACACUUUUCGUAACGUUAAACAGAGUUGUCCCACGUGUCGGGAAUACCCCUAAUUAGGUUUCCAAGAGGUCAAUUUACCUCGGAAACAACCGGAGGCAAAAGUCCCAAAAUCCAUGCCCUAACAAUGCCAUAAUGGGAUUUCUCCUAGAUUGAUCUUAUCUCUAAGCAAAUGAUAGCUUAGAAUCAUCUAGGAAGCUCUCUAAUACUAUUACCAAGCCUCUAGAACCAUUCCUAGGGCAUCUGCUUUGGAUUCUAACAAUCCACCAUGAGAGGGUUCCAAGAAAACCAUGUUUUCAUGGUGUUCAAGGUUCUAGCAUACCUCUAAAGCCUCUAAAGAGACCAAAACUCCAAAACUUAGGGUUAGAAUCCUAACCCUAGAGCUAUUCUUGCACAAAACUCACCUUGGCCACGAGCUCACCCAAGUCCACCUUGUUGGAGAGCCCCAAGAUCCUCCAAAGCCACCAAAAUCCCACUCCAAAGCUUCUUCUCCACCUUCUCCUUGCUCUAGGGUAUGCUUUCUAGAGAGAGAAAGAGAGGAAUGAGAGAGAGAGGAGAGUGUGCUGUGGGAGAGAAGGAGAGAGAGUGUUUUGGUUAUAAUAUGUUGCCACAAUAGCAACAAGACCCCCUAAAUUCUUAUAAUUGCAGCAGACCUCAAAGGUGCUGCCAGACCAAAGUGUACCGGUAUACGUGAUGCUGUCACCGGUAACACGAUUACGCAGAGGCCAACCCGAGAGCAAUUCUCCCAGGUUUUUCCAACGUGUACCGGUACACACCAGGGGUGUCAUCGGUAACACAGGCAAAAUUUCUCAAACCCGAGAGCUUCUCCUUCUCGGCUUGCAAUGCUGUACCGGUGACAACUCGAUGGUUGUACCGGUACACUUUGCUUCAAAAUGCAAUUUUGUGCCGUUUUCGAUUCUGUUUUGCGCUGUUCGAUGCUAAAACCUUUUUAACAUCUCUUAACUCAUUCUUAACCCUUCCAACAUAGUUGGUAUGCUAAUUGAAACUUGUCCAACUAAUUCUUUCGCGCACUUUAGUCGAUUUGGCUAAAGUUCGAUAAUUUCCUUCGAGGUUUCAACAUCUUACAUUCUCCACCCCUUAAAAUUAGUUUCGUCCGCGAAACUAACUUAAUUGCAAUCUAAACUCAUACCUCACUCCAGCUCCUCGAAGAGAUGAGGAUGACGCUCUUUCAUUACGUCCUCAAGUUCCCACGUUUCUUUCCGAUCGUCGUGUUCACUCCAAUGAACUUUAACAUACGGAAUUUCACGGUUUCGUAGUUUUC